GUUAUUUAGUCCAGCAUCUUAUUCAGCAUUCAAUCAAAUCACAAUGUUUUUGUAGGUAGUUCUUAAAUUUCUUCCAAUCCUCCUCGAUUCUCUCUUCUCCCAGGUCACGGAUUCUGCCAGUCAUUUCAGCCAGUUGCAUAUAGUCUAUCAGUUGCAUCUGCCAUUCUUCCAGUGUGGGUAGAUCUUGGGUUUUCCAAUGUUUUGCAAGUAGUAUCCUUGCUGCUGUUGUUGCGUACAAUAAAAAUCUCUGUUCCUUCUUUGCCACCCCUUGGCUGACAAUACCCAAAAGGAAAGCCUCUGGUUUCUUAGUGAAAGUAUAUUUAAAUACCUUUUUCAAUUCAUUGUAAAUCAUUUCCCAGAACGCCUUCACUUUAGGGCAUGUCCACCAGAGGUGAAAGAACGUUCCUUCACACUCUUUGCAUUUCCAGCACUUGUUAUCAGACAGGUGGUAAAUUUUUGCGAGUUUGACUGGGGUCAUAUACCAUCUAUAAAUCAUUUUCAUUACAUUUUCUUUCAAAGCAUUACAUGCAGUAAAUUUCAAUCCAUUACUCCACAGCCUUUCCCAGUCCUCAAACAUAAUAUUGUACCCAAUGUCCUGUGCCCACCUUAUCAUAGCCGAUUUAACCAUUUCAUCUUGUGUAUUCCAUUCCAACAGCAAGUUAUACAUCCUUGAAAGUAUCUUAGUCUUUGGUUCUAACAAUUCUGUUUCUAAUUUCGAUUUCUCCACCUGGAACCCUAGUUUCUUAUCACUUUUAAAAACUUCUUUAAUCUGAGCAUAGUGUAACCAAUCUCGCACUUUGUCUUUCAUUUUCUCCAAGCUCUGCAAUUUCCAAUUGUCUCCAUCUUUUCUAGUAUUUCCCAAUAUUUUGGCCAUUUGGCCUCCAUAUUGGGUCUUUUUCGAGCCUUAGCUUCCAAAGGUGAAAGCCACCUUGGUGUUUUAUUUUCCAGCAAGUCUUUAUAUUUUGUCCAGACAUUAAACAGUGAUUUUCUAACAAUAUGGUUCUUAAAGGCCUUAUUUGCUUUAACUUUGUCAUACCAUAAAUAUGCAUGCCAUCCAAAAACAUUGUUAAACCCCUCCAAAUCUAACACAUCAGUGUCUUCAAGAAGUAGCCAGUCUUUUAGCCAGCAGAACGCUGCGGCUUCAUAGUACAACUUUAAGUCCGGCAGGGCAAAGCCCCCUCUUUGUUUUGCAUCGGUUAGUAUCUUAAACUUAAUUCUGGGCUUUUUGCCCUGCCAGACAAACUUCGAAAUGUCUCUCUGCCACUUCUGAAAGCACCCCAUUUUGUCCAAUACCUGCAGUGUUUGAAAUAAAAACAACAUUCUUGGCAAUACAUUCAUCUUAAUCGCAGCAAUUCGGCCUAACAAAGAAAGUUUCAAUUUUGACCAACUGUCUAAGUCUCUCUUAAUUUCUGUCCAACAUUUUUCAUAAUUAUCCUUAAAUAGACUUAGAUUUUUGCUGUUAUGUUUACCCCUAGGUAUUUUACUUUUUAACCACAUUAAGUUCCGUCUCAUUCUGAAACCGUUCUGACUCUGUCUCAGUCAGAUUUUUCCCCAAAACCUUAGUUUUCUGUUUGUUUAAUUUAAAUCCCGCCACCCGACCAAAGUCAUUAAUCAAUUGUAAUACUCUUUUCGUACUAGGCUCUGGCUUCUGCAAGGUCAAAACCAGGUCAUCUGCAAAAGCUUUUAAUUUAUAUUGUUUCUGACCAACCUGAAUUCCUUCCACCAGCUGGUCCCCUCUGAUCAUGUUCAAUAGCACCUCCAGGACCGAGAUAAAUAACAAAGGGAAAUAGGCCAACCUGGUCGUGUCCCUUUUUCAAUUUUGAACUCUUCUGUAACCACAUUAUUAACUAUCAGUUUUGCUUUCUGUUCUGAAUAUAUCGCCUCAAUCCCAUUCUCAAAACCCCGUCCCACUCCCAUCUCUUUUAAGUUUCCCAUCAUAAAUUUCCAAGAAAUGUUAUCAAAGGCCUUCUCCGCAUCUAUAAAAAUUAAAACAGCUUUUGUAUUUAUGUCAGUUUGGAGAAGUUCCAAAAUAUCAAUAAUGUUCCUUGUGUUAGCAAACAAAUGUCUACCUGGGAGAAAACCGGCCUGGUCCUUAUGAAUUACUUCAUUUAAAACUUUUUAAAUCUACUUGCCAAAAUAUCUGCAAAUAUUUUGUAAUCCACAUUUAAAAGGGAGAUGGGACGGUAGUUCUUCAGUUGUGUCUUUUCAGUUUCUAACUUUGGUAUCAAUGUGAUAAACGCUUCCUUCCACGAAUCCGGUGCCCUCUUCCCCUCCAUAAUUUCAUUGCUAACCUCCAUCAAAGGUUGUAUCAAAUAGUCUUUUAGUGUCUUGUAAUACUUGGAGGUCAGCCCGUCUGGCCCUGGAGAUUUGCCAAGUUGCAUGUUCUGAAUAGCUUGUUCAAUCUCCUGUCGUGUUAUUUUAGAGUUCAGGAUUGUCCUAUUUUCUUGUGACAGUUUAGAUAAUCCAUUUUUUGCCAAAAAUUGUUUAAUCUCAACUUCGUCUUGCGGCCCUUGGGUAUAUAACUUUUUAAAAUAUCUCUGGAAACACUUUCUAAUGUCCACUGGAUUCUGAAUGUUUCUUCCAUCAACCUCUAAAUUUGUAACCGUGUUUAAUCUUUGUCUUCUCUUCAACUGCCAAGAUAGCAGUUUUCCACAUUUAUUCGCCGACUCAAACGUUUUUGUUUCAUUAAUUUGAUCUUCCAUUCAAUUUCCUGAUUUAUCAAUUUAGAAUACUGUGUUUGAUAAAGUUUAAUUUCUCUCAGAGUUGGCUGUGACUUUGGAUUCACUCUUAAUUUCUUCUCCAAGUCUUUUAUUUUAUCCAAAAUCUUGUCUUUUUUCUCAUUUUGUGUUUUUUUCUUUACUACAUUCUGUUGUAUCAGAAAACCCCUCAUGACAGCUUUGCUUGCGUCCCAGACGAUUCUUUUUUCCACCGAAUUGUUCAUAUUUAUCUCAAAAUAAUCUUUCAAAACUUUUUGGGCCUUCUUGGUAAUUUCCUGAUCUCUAAACAAAUUGUCAUUCAUCUUCCAUCUAAAGGAUCCAGUUGGUAGUAGUGUCAUGUCCAUCUUUACUGCGUUGUGGUCAGAACAGGUCUUUGGGCAGAUUUCCACUUUUCUAACCCUAGGUGCCAGGCCUCUAGAGAUCCAUAUUUGGUCGAUUCUUGUCCAGGUCAGUUGGGCUUCAGAAAAGAAUGUUCCUUCUCUACCUAGUGGGUUUUUUGUUCUCCAAAUGUCGAUCAAGUCCAUAUUGUCAGUCAUUUCAAAAAGGUUUUAGGUAGUCUGCCAUCUUUUGUGAUGUUUUGACUUUGCGACUUGUCCAUGUUAGUUGACACGACCCCGUUCAUGUCUCCCAUCAUUAUGAUGUUGUUGUAAUCCAGAUGAUCCAGCAUUGUCCCCUGCAACUUCUUGUAAAAUUCCGAUUUCCCUUCAUUAGGCGCAUAGAUUCCUAAUAUCAGCAAUUUCUCUCCUUGAUAUUGUAUCUCAAUAGCCAAAAUCCUUCCAUGUUCAUCUUUAAAUAGAAAUUUAGGUGACAGGCUCUCUUUUGCAUAUAUCACCACUCCUCUCUUCUUCACUUUAUCCGACGAAAUAAAUUCCUGGCCCAAUCUUUUAUUUGUUAACACUUUUCUGUGGAGCCUCGUCACAUGUGUUUCUUGUAAGCAAAUAAUGUCCAAUUGUUCUUUUUUUAAUAUAUGAAAAAUUUUCUUCCUUUUCUCCGGGAUAUUGCAACCAUUAAUAUUCCAGCUCAACAGUUGCAGAGACAUCCUGGAUCUAUCUGGUUAUUUCUCCUGGGGUGGUGUCUUCUCUUGAUCUUCAAGUUCCCGAGGUGGAGGUAUUGAUGCUGGCUUUGCCUCAGGCCCGGAAGGUAGUUCAAUUCCUUUAUGUAGGUCCUCUCCGUGUGUAGCCAGAAAUUUAUCUCUCUCUUCCAAUGUUCUAAUUUUAACCUUUCUCGCUCUAAAGGUAAAAGACAAUCCCUGGGGAAAAUCCCACCUGAAUGGAAUUGCGUUGCUCCUUAAUAGUUUAGCUAGUUCAGAAUAGGCGGCUCUAAGAUCCAACAGUUGUCUUGGGAUAUCUUUAUAUAUCUCAAUUCUUCUAUCCAAAACUUCCAGUGACUUUUCGUAAUGUAGGCCCAAAAUCUUAUCCCUUUCCUCCUUCGAUCUCAAUGUAAUCAAACAAUCCCUGGGCCUCUCCUUCUUUAUAAAUCUUCCAAGUCUGAAAGCUGACACAAUUUUAAAGUCCUUUUCUUCCAAAUUCCAGAACUUGGAAAGUUCUUUGGUCAAAAACUCAGUUAGAUUUCCUUCUUCUGCCUCUUGUAAUGAUCUAAUCCUCAGAUUAUUCUCACGAUUUCGCAGUUCUAUCAUAGAAAGAUAAAUCUGAUGUUCCCCAACUUGUUUAGUGAGUGGUCUUACCUCUUGCUCUAAAUUUUCCAAUUUUUGUCUGGUGUCCUCAGCCAAUUUUCGAUUUUCUACUGAGGCCUCCGUCAACUGUCCAAUUGCUUGUGUAUUCUGUCCCACCUGUGUAGUUAAUUUGUUUAGACACUCUGUAUUUUUAUCAAUCUUUGCUGAUUGCGCAUCUACUUUCUUGUCCAAAGCUUCCAAUUUUUCAAAGAUUUUUCUAGCACAGAAGCAGAUGCUCCUGAGGCCAUAUCUUCCAAUUGUAACUGCUCUACUUCACCCUCUCCCUCUUUUGCCUGUGGCAAGGCAGCUUCUUCAAGUUGUACUUCUGAGGGCAAAGUAGGCACAGAUGAUCUACGUGUCUGCGAGGCUGAGGUUAGAUUUGUUAGAGUUGUUUGUCUAACUCUUCCUCUUCUUCUUGUACCACUCAUUCCAAUGUUAUCUAUCAGUCAAGGUCACACUGAGUUUUUCCCACAGGAAUAGAGAGUCCCAGAGCAAGCAGACAACAAGAGAAUCGAAAGUAAAUGUUUUUAUAAAGUCACUGUUUUAAUCCAAUCCUCUAGAGGAGCUUAAAAUGUCUUUUCAGAGUCUGAUUUAAUGUCCCAGAACCUUCCAAUAUAAGUAUUAAGCAGAGUUUAAAGGUAAUCACUUUGUUGCAGACAGUGCUUAUUUGUCUCCAAAAAGAAUGUUUCAAAUUUAAAAUGUCUCAAUGCCCUCAAAUUGUUGCAACUUCCAGUAUACAGUAUCCAAGUCAAACACUGACAGCCCACUGUUACAAUGCUCAAGCAGUCCUGACUCUGGGUUUCACCUUCCAAUUUGUAAUCCAAUAAAAGGGGAAAGUCAAGUGCAAAUAAAAGGUCCAAAUCUUUAACUUGCUAAUUUUACUUUAAAUUGUAAGUUCCAUAGAUGCUUGGCUGUGUAGAGUUUAAAAUCUCUUUCUUUCAGCCUCCACUCCUCCACCUUAGUUGCUUUUUUUUCCAAGUUCAAUGGCAGCGGAAGACGGACUUCCUGUUUCCACGUCUCUCCGCUUUCAGCCAAAUUCAAGUCAAUUUAAACCUUCUCAUUUAAAAUUUGUAAUUCCAAGUGAUUCAGUCUUUACUCACGAGUAAGUUGUUUUCUUCCAGGUCCGAAUUUUAACAGGAAAAGGGAUCAGCGCUCACCGGCAGCAGCAGCGCGGCUUCACUCCGCUGACUGUGAAACGGCUCACAGCGCCGCAGCCCCCCUCCACGCUCCGGAGCCUCUUACGAGGCUCCUUCUGCAGUUGGAGGGCUGCUCUUGGCGCCCGCCGAGCCUCAGGACCCCAGGCUCUUGCUGCCUGGGGUUUUUCUCACUGGGUCUCCGCUUCGCCGUAGCGGACGACCCGGUUUCAGCGGAGCUUCUUCUCCGGUCGGGAGAAGACCGCCAUUACCGUUCGCGCCGCCCCCGGAAGUCCACCUAACAAGAGUUUUCACAAUAUGACAUCAUACCAAAGGGAUUUCUUUUCAUUUUGCCCUUGAUAUAUGGGGAAAUUGAAGGUUAAAAUGGUGUUUUGAUAGCCUGCUGGAAACAAGGCCCACAGUUUAUAGCAUUCAAGCAGACUGCUGUCAGCUGUCAAAUCAUUUUGGUGUCUGGCAAAGACUCAGCUGACAACGAUCUACAUUUACAGUUUAUGAUUUCAGUGUCCAGCUAUUAAAAUAAAGUAAGCAUAGCAAAAUAAUGAUAAAACACCCUUACGAUACCUGGCUUACAAUCCUUUAAAUAUCUAUUAUUUAUUUAAACACCUUGCUUCAGCACUUGGUUAUUAAACUUGACAAACUAUUGGGUUUGUGGGGCCUUUUUUAUAUAUACUUCUAUAUUUCAUUUUUUAAAGUUCCAAAACAUACCAGCCAGAACAUUUUGUCCAUGUCAUCGAGUAAUUCAUUAAUUUAUGUUGGUAUUCAUGUCCAAACAACAGAAAAAAGAUAGAAGACCCAUUUUUUAUGUGGGGUUUUGCUUUUAAUUGUGGAAAGCUUUAUAAAUCUAUUUUUGUAAGAGAAAAUAUAGCUCCUGUGGAAGCAGAAGUGAGUUGCUAAGAUAAUUUUCCACCAACUUAUUGACACAUAAUGAAAUAGUUCUCAUGUCAGAUAAAUAAUAAUGUUUCUUUAAUGAGGCUGUUUUACUCCAAUGAUGUUUCAAAUGGCUAAUAAAAACACCUUUUAAAUGCUGUGGUUUCUAUUCUUUACUGUCAAAACUUUUCUCUUACAUUUGUAUUAAAAUUUUGUAAAUCUGUCUGAGGACAGGCUAACAUUCUGCCUAUAUCUUUCUGUGCACAGGAAGGAGCAGAAUCAUAUAAAUCCUUUGGCAAAGGGAAGGGCAAGUAUACUGUAUACAGGAGACCACAUAAAGCAUUACUGGCAGAAACAGAAGUAGCCUCUGGACAAUAGAGAAGAAUCAGUAGGCUGACUUACCCUGAAAAAUGAAGUAUGUAGCUCACCAAUUUUGCUAAAUUGAAUGACCCUGUGAUUUUGACUUCAGAGGUGUCUCAUAAUAGUUGGCACCUUUCUGUGGUUUGAAUUCUUGCAGCGUUGCUUUCCCUUCUCAAAUACACGUUGCUGCAGAUACUUAAGGCGCAAGAACACCCAACCCUCCUUGGUAUCGCAUGGUCUACACACAUUUUGUAGGGCCUGCAUAUCUUUUUGGGUGAAAUCCCAUUAUUCUCCAUUUUCCUUAGCAUUGAUCUUUAUCAGAAACACUAAACCAGGGAUGGCUAGGGCAUGGACUGUUGCAGGCAUGGCCAAACUUGGCCCUCCAGCUGUUUGGGGACUACAGCUCCCAUCAUCCCUAGCUAACAGGACCAGUGGUCAGGGAUGAUGGGAUUUGUAGUCCCAAAACAGCUGGAGGGCCAAGUUUGGCCAUGCCUGGACUAUUGGAAGGCAGCCUGGACUCUAUAGCAUCCUUGCUAGUUCAAUAUGCAGCCUCCAGGUGGUUGACUAUGGGUCAUUGUGGCACUUGGUCUGAACAGAGUUAGCCCUCCCUGCAGUAAGCUGUUGGAAUCACUGGAAUCUCUUGUUUAGGCUGAUAUCUUAAACCAGUGUUUCCCAACCUUGGGUCUCCAACUGUUUUCAGACUACAGUUCCCAUCAUCCCUGACCACUAGUCUUGCUAGCUAGGAAUGAUGGGAGUUGUAGUCCCAAAACAGCUGGAGACCCAAGGUUGGGAAACACUGCCUUAAACAACUAUGCUAUCUCAAACGCUCCAAAAGGUGAAAUCAUGUACUCUGCCGUCAAGAGAGUACCUACAAAAUUGAUCAAACAAUCUGAGGGCAGGCAAUUCUGAGGGAGGGCAGGCAAGGACCCACAGCCUAGGUGGAGCUCGCUAGUUUGGGGAGUGAGUGUGUGAUUCCUCAACUGGAGACAGGUGGGGAUCACAUGCCUCGUCAAGCCCAGAAGGUAUAACAGGAAAGCCGUGCUGGCUACGCCAUAGCUCUCCUGACAGAUGAUUUGGUCUGGAGCCACAGUGUGGAGAUAAAUGAUGAGAUUGCCCCAAAAAUCCCUGCUUGUGGUGAUGUUUUGCUGGGUGCUGUCUCUCUUGUGAGAAAAGGCUGCAGUCUGCCUUUUCCCACAAGAUUUGUGGACCCCCCUGCCCUCCCUUGGCUACACCCAUGGGUAGAGGAGAUGGGGAGGAAAGGACAUGGAAACGAAGCAACAGGCAGCCUUUCAUGUGAACAACUCCAAAUCCUUACCUAGUUUGGAGUGAGGCGUCACUUAUUUUUAUGUUUGGACUGCUCUUUUCUGCAAGCAUGGUAAAUCACAAAAGGUGUAUGUCUACAUGGGAACAAAUGCCCAUGGAUCUCAGGUUUCCUGGCUUGGAGCAACACACACACAAACUCAAACGUACGUAUGGCUGCUGUUUUGUGCAAAGCUGGUAGACUGAGAAACUUGUAUUUUAUUUUAACUAAAGGUGUGUGCUUACAGGUAAGCAGAUACCAGUGUGCAUGCCCAUAAUGACCUCAGGCAAGGCCAGCCUACCCAUAAUUUUUUCUUUGAGAAAAAUAAGUGGCUCACGUAAAUGUAAACUAAGCUUUAAUAAGAAAGAAAAUUUUAACAAAAUAACAUCAUGAGAAAAACUACAUACAGUGGUACCUCGGGUUACAAACACUUCAGGUUACAGACUACGCUAACCUGGAAGUAGUACCUCGGGUUAAGAACUUUACCUUAGGAUGAGAACAGAAAUCGCGAUGCAGCAGCAGCAGGAGGCCCCAUUAGCUAAAGUGGUACCUCAGGUUAAGAACGAUUUCAGGUUAAGAAUGGACCUCUGGAACGAAUUAAGUUCGUAACCAGAGGUACCACUGUACAGCAACAGGAGGCAAAUUUGAGGCAAGAAACAAGAAGAGACAGUUGGUCCCUCUUAAUGGACAUUCUUAACUAACUGAACAGAACUCAACACGCACUGAAGGGAGGGGCUGAUUCCGGAGCAAAGCACACAAGCCCCGCCCACCAGAUACCAAGCACUCUACUAUUCAAAUUAGGCCCUAAUGUUUUUCUUACAAUCCCCUUCUCAAUGUGCCUAAUUUGAAUUAAUAUUAAUUUAGUAUGUAAAUUCUCAAAACUUUCUUAUUUAAACAUUCAGCAUUUUUUCCCUGGCUUUGCUUCGAGAUAGAAGGUCUUGUUCCCUUCCCCACUAUUCAGGUCAACUUUACAACGUUUAAUUUCCAUUACUCUCACCAAACCUUUCUUUGGCAGGUCUGCUUAAUCCUGAAGUCUCUAUGUCCAAGCCAUUUGUGCUACAGAUGAACACUGGUUGCACUUGAAUUCUUCUUGACCAUAUUCACUCUUUCUUGACUGGUAUCCAGCACAAAGACUCCAUUAUUUUCAAAACCUUGUGCAUGCAAAACUCCAUCUUUGGUGAGUGCACAUUUGUUGUGAUUAAAAUUUACAUUAAAACCACACUUGGUCAGGGUUGGCACAUUCAGCAAACUGAAUUUCCCACUAGAUACCAAGUAGUCUAUUAUUCAAAUUAGGUUCCAGUGUUUUUCUUACAAGAGCACCCUCAUGAGUGCCUCCUUUCGUGCCCCCACCUCUGCCAGAGAAGUGGUGCCAGUGUAGGUGCUGAUUUCCUGCAAGAUCUUGCAAGAUUUCAUCAAAGUCUUGCAAGAUAUCAAGGAGAGCAAAAGAUCUCAUGAGAUUUGGGUAAGAUCUUGCAAGCUCUUUCAGGGAAUCUGCUCCAAAGCCAGCAAUGCAGUGCUGGUACAGCAGCCCCUCCAAGUGCCCCUAUUUUCCAGGGACAUCCGUGAUAUAGAGAAGCUGUCCCGGUUUCUGAUUUCAUCCCAGAAUGUCCUGCUUUUCCCUAGGAUGUCCCUAUUUUUAUUGGAGAAAAGUUGGAGGGGUACGGUAGGAUGUCCCUAGUUUCAUGCUGGCCACAUGACCCAGAAAGCUGUCUGUGGACAAACGCCGGCUCCCUCAGCCUGAAAGCGAGAUGAGUGCCGCAACCCCAUUGUCGCCUUUGACUGGACUUAACCAUCCAGGGGUCCUUUUACAUGGAAGAUGGAAAGCUUGUUUCCUGCUGCUUCAUGCCAAUGGAUUCAAAUUACUGUAUUUGUCGCUCUAUAAAUUACUGUAUUUGUCACACCAGACCACAAGACGCACCUAGUUUUUGGAGGAGGAAAACAAGAAAAAAGAUAUUCUGAAUCUCAGAAGCCAGAACAGCAAGAGGGAUCGCUACGCAGUGAAAGCAGCAAUCCCUCUUGCUGUUCUGGCUUCUGGGAUAGCUGUGCAGCCUGCAUUCGCUCCAUAAGACGCACACACAUUUCCCCUUACUUUUUAGGAGGGAAAAAGUGAGUCUUAUAGAGCAAAAAAUACGGUAUGAGAAAGGAGAUUCCAACUUCAAAAAGAACUUUCUGACGGUAAGAGCUGUUUGCCAGUGGAAUGGACUCCCUUGGAAGGUGUUAGACCCUCCAUAUUGGAGGUUUCUAAGCAGAGGUUGGAUGACCAUCUGUCAUGGAUUCUUUAGUUGUGAUUCUUGCAUUGUAGGAAUUUUGGCUUGUUGUCUCUCUUUUGGUCCCUUCCAACUCUAUAAUUCUGUGAUUACAUGAUCUCCCUUUCACAACCUGUCACAGCACAAGGCCUUGAACUUUGACUGUUACAUUCUGACAUCAACAGAUGUCACUUCCCCCACCCCCCAAGCACAAAACAUAGACAUACCCACACACUAUCUGCAGGUUCAGAUGUGGCAUAUAUGUUGCUGAGGAUACCAGCAGCAGAUGGAUAUUGCCCUUGUGUGCUGUUUGGAAGUUUUCUCAGAGGUGUUGGGAUAGCCACUGUGGAAACAGUGUGCUGAACUACAUGGGCCAAAAUAUAACCCUCUAGAAUCCCUGAUCAUUGAGUACUUGUUCAGUUAGACAGGCCAUGUGCUGUUUCUGACUUCUAAAAGGAAGCUCCAAGAUUGGCGUGGCCACCAGUAAUAAAGUACCAAAGCUUGAUGGUGCUGGUCCAUCAAAGGCACUGUUCUUGGAAACCUCCAGGCCAAUUUAAAAAUAGCAACUCUUCCCCUACAUAUACAUUUCAGUUCAUCAUUGCCUCUCCUUUCAUGAAUGUAAUUCAUAUACAUACUUAUAAAUGUACUUUUAAAUUAUCAAACAUAUUAGCAAUCAGCUAGGAAGGUAAUAAUAUAAUUGGCAUGGAUUUUGUGUGUGUAUGUAUGUAUGUAUGUAAAAGUUUGGUGUUGGAAAAGCUAAUUACACAUUGCAGGUGCUUUCAAUCAGUUUAAUAGGACAACAUUCAACUAUCAAUGUUACAUUUACAAAGAAUCUAAUUACGUGUAAUUAAAUAAUGUUGAAUUUACAAACAGCUGACUAUAUGCAAUUAUCUUUCAGCAGCUUAUAGGCCAUACAUCAUCAAGUACUUAUCAUUUUAAAAUUGCUUCCCAAGUGAGCAAACCACCUUUUAUUUACAAUAAUGUACUACUAUGAAGCCAAGCAUUUUGUAGUUAAUCAAGUUUGUAGAACUUACAAAUUGGAAUCCUGAAAUAGAUGAAUCCAGGAAGCAUGAAAAUUGGUAUAUCAUAACAUAAAAAAAUGCAAUGAAGCUAAUUACUUGUGUAAUUGAUUAAGCUGUUCUGUUCUGCGUUGUAAAUUGGUUGCUGGUUCCUUAGGAGAAUGGAAUCCCAUUCCAAAUGUGACAGGAUACUGACAGCAGUGAUCAACUGUUUGAGACAGUUCUAUAACUUUGAUUAAAGCAGUACUUGAUCGCAUUUCUAAAACACUAAGCUAAAUAAUUAAAAUGCAGGGGAGGUACCUUUCGGAAUUUGGUAUGAGUGCAGUCAUUUAGAGUUGCUAAGGAAAUGUGUUAUUUAUUUAUUCCAUUCCCUUUCUCCAAGGAGCCACUUGGUGACACUUGUGGUCCCUGCUCCCUUUUGUCCUCAAAACAAUUCCUUGACAUGGGAGGAGGCUAAAGUAUCAUGGCAGCCCAAAGUCACUUAGUGAACUUCAUAGCUGAGUGAGAUUUUAAAUCUGGAUCUCCCUUGCCCAAGCCAGACAUGCUAUCUACUAAAUGGGUCCUCAACAUUGUGUUAAAUGGAGUAGGCUUAAUGCUAAAUGCCUUGACAUUUGAUCACGUUGUGUUAUGUAAACCAUAUUGAGCAUAGGAUGAGGUGAGAUAUGCAUAGGUUGAAGUCCAAAGAUCCAUGCAUGGAGUGGAAAUCACUUCCAUACAAGCGUAGGGGGUUAACGGAUUUUCCCUUACCAGCUGCAGCCUCUUGUGUUACAUCAAUGGCACUCUGGAAGGUUCUGUUUUCAGGAGUGUCUUGAGUCUCUCCCUGUCCUCCUGAAAGCCCUGAACUUUUGCCCAUGUGGAGAAAGGAGCAUGAUCCUUUGGAUCCUGGCCAUAACAUUAAAAAAAAAAAUUCAUUGGCAUCUAUCAGGAGAAUCAAAAGGAAAUUGUAACUUGAGGUAAUGGACACCCAGAACAAAAAAUAUAUUAGCCAGGGUUAAAUGGGAGUACUGAUAAUCAAGCUGUUAUAUAAGGGAGGUCCAUUUGCUGGUCCUGAUCUUCUCAUUGAAGAACUCUUAAAAGGUUACACCAGAACCCUGAGGGUCCAUGGAACACUGUUUGAAAACUAAUGCAGGAGGAUUUUGGAUAGUUAAUCAGUCAAUUCCUUAAAUAAAACCAGAGAGUUUUCAUAAGUUCUCUGAGGAGCACAUUGAAGGAACAAAAAGACUUCACUUAACCUAGAAAAUGGAGCAUUAGCUCGCUUUUGGACCUCUGAUAUCCCAGUACACACCUAGGAAGGGCAGAAUGGAGGAUAAUAAACAAGGUUGCAAGAUGAAGACACAUUAAUUGGCAGUAGUACAUGUGAAAAGGAUGUUAGGGCUGUACUUGCACACAACCUGAAACAUGAGUUUGCAGUGUGAUGCUGCUACAAUAAAGUCUAAUACAAUUUUAGGUUGCGUUACACUAGAACCAUGGUUUCCAAGACACACGAAGUCAAAAACCCACUUAAUUCUGUGCUUGUCAGACCUCAUCUGGAAGACUGUAUCUAGUGACGGGUGUGGCACCUUAAGAACAAUCUAAAAAAAAUUAAGUCUUUUGAGGAAAGGUUAAGGCUGGAGAAGACUGAGGGGACAGGGAAUGAAAGCACUCUUCAAAUACCCAUAGUAGGGCUGUCCAACAGGUUGAUCGUGAUCUACCUCCUCCCCCCCCCCCCCCCAAUGAUGAAGCUUUCCCAAAAAAAGUUCAACAAUUCUGGUCAAUCCAAUGGGUAGAUCACUGCCAGUUUUUUUUAUAGUGGUUGUAGAUCACAGUCUCUUGAAAGUUGGGCAAAACUAUUCUCUGCUGUCUCAGGGAGAAGGAUUAGAUUUAAUGGCUGAGUAUUAGGAGAAACUUAUUAAGACCCCCUUCACAAUGGAACCAAUUACUUAGAGGAAUGGUGGGCUCUCCCGUGGCAGACAACUUGGGAAGAGACUAGACGGCUGUCUAAUAUUGUCAAAAGUAACAAGUGGGAUGUAGGUUAGAAUGCUGAGUAUGUUUGGGGGGAAAGUAAGCAAAGAAUUAUAGAAAAUAGACUACAUAAAUAGCUAGGGAGGACUCAUAUCAGCAAUACAGUACAGGGGAAGCCCUCCAGAGGCUCCUGGACUCUGAUUUUCAUUGUCCUUGACAGCUAUAAUUUCUGGGGCUGAUGGGAGUUGCAGUCCCACAACAUCCAGAGGUCAGCGUGUUGCUUACUCCUGGCAUGUGCUUUGUACUUGAAUGAAUCUGUGGGCUGCAGGUCUGGGACCUUGUCUGACAUCCUCUGCCAGUCAGAACAAACAAUCUGGGAUAGAUGGGACCAGCACUCUGUUUCAGUAUAAGGCACCUUGAUAAAUUCACAAAGAUUCAUUAUCUAAUUUAUCUUGCAUCGUCAGUUCCCUGCCACUUUCGUAGAGCUGUUUUAACCUACCAUAUCCUCUGUUCUGUAAAGUGGGAUGCAAAAUUUAGAACCGAAAGGGGAUAAAAUAUAAUCCACAAAUAAUGCUAAUUCUGCAAAAACAACAACAAUCACUAACAUCACCACAUACUUCACUUAGUGUCCAUGAAUAGUCCCUAUUAGACUUAUCUAGAUCUGGGACGAGCAAGCAGAAGUUAUCCAGGUGUUGCUGGACUCCAACUCUCAUCUGCCCCAAACUGCCCCAAGGAUGAUGGGAGUUGUAGUCCAACAACAUCUGGUGGGCCUUAGAUUGCCAACUCCUGAUUGUUUUGGUGGAUCUGGGCCUACUAAGAGGGUGUUGAGUAGCAGCAGCAUAGACAGGAAUUCACAGAGAGAUUAUUAUUUUGCUUUUACAAUGUUUCAGUGGAAACCCAUGAGGACAUUUAUGUUAGAGGCAGAUUGCCAAGUAACAGCUUCAGCAUACCCUUUAGAAAAUAGAGUCGGGCAUAGCGGAGCCUUUUAAUGACUGUAAUAUUUAUUCCUUGCCAUCUUCCAAACAGAUAUGGCAGCUUUGCACCAGGGGAGCAAUAUCGGCACAUCCUUUGAAGGCAAACUCGAUUAGCAUCAUCUGAAGAAAGAUGACAUUUGGGGAGCAUUAUCACCAGGCAAACUCAGAUCAGACAGGGUUGAGCAGGAUUCAAAGCUAACAACAACAACAGGCUUGGGAAAGGAAUACUCAGAAGAGACCUGUCAAGGCAAGCAGAUAUAGAUAAACUGUACAGGUUAGUUCAGGGAGCUAAAGAGGGCAGGUGCCGCAGGUACCACAAAUAAUUGGUGAUUGUGGCUGGGUGAUGGAGGAGAGGAGCACCCACUUGUAAAUACCAAGUAGUGGCAGCAAAUUACGCCUCAGCAUUUUGCAAGUCUGCAGUUGCCGUUUGGGUCAGCAACUCUGGCACAGUUGGGGCUACUAAUGUCACCAAUAGGGCUGGGCGAUACCUGCUUUCCAACAUCAUAAUAUACAGUGGUACCUCGGGUUACAGACACUUCAGGUUACAGGCUCCACUAACCCAGAAAUAGUACCUCGGGUUAAGAACUUUGCUUCAGGAUGAGAACAGAAAUUGUGCGGCGGCUCAGCAGCGGGAGGCCCCAUUAGCUAAAGUGGUACCUCAGGUUAAGAACAGUUUCAGGUUAAGAACGGACCUCUAGAAUUAAUUCAGUUCUUAACCCGAGGUACCACUGUAUUGCCAACUAAACUUUGUGAUAUGGCAGCGUAUUACAGUGUCAGAAAGGAGAUGAUUAGUGUCACUGUGCACAUCUUCUGCCUCUUCCGGAUGAGGACAGGUGGUGCUGCCACAAGUGGAGCACAUCAGCCGGGGCACUGCAUGGCAAGGCACCCUGGAGUCGCUGGCCUCUCCAGAACCACCAGCUCCAUUAUGCGGGAUGGGGCUUACCUGCCCCCCCCCCAAUAUUUUCUUCAAGUUGGCACCCUUGGAUCAGAAGAAAUGUAUUAUUGAAGUUUGUGUGUUUAGAUCUGUCUUGUGUCUUGAGACAAGAACAAACACUUUAUACUUUAAUCUCAAGUAGGGAAGGAGUUUUCUUAACUUGGAACUCUGGAGAAGCCUGACUACUGGAAAGCAGUAAUACUGAUGUUCUGUUGGGACACUCUGUUGAUCACACUGGUUGAAGUGUGCUGAAGUACCAGCAAAUGGUGGGCCCAUGUCUGACAGCCAACUGACUUCUACACUGCAUGGCCUUAGAACUCCAAAUACAAAGCCCAGUUUGUGAGUCAUAACUGUGGGCAGAGAAUUAUGCCUGUUGCCCUGACCUCUGCACAUAUAGCUAAAUGUCUUGACAGUACAUGCCACUCUGUGCAUAUAGAAAGGUCCCUAAUGGCACACCCAGAGUCUAUUUAUUCUGGCCCAGUUCAGAUUUUUGUCUGAAUAAAUUUAUUGUACCGAUAGAUAACCUCAGCACUUUAUGUCCGGCACAUGUGUGACAGCAGAAUUUAAAAAAUGGAGCUCAUCUCAAACACAUUAAUAACUCCUUCAUCAAAAUCUUGAGCCAAAAAAAGUGAGGACCCAUUUUGCCAGUCAUCGGGAUUGAUUCUCUAUCAAAUAACAAAUGGCUUCCAUGAAGCUGAAGACAUUACUCAAAGGACUGUUCAUUAGUUCAGCUCAUGGGUCAUAUGUGCAAUUAUAGUUAUCAACAUUGUCUUAUGAUGGAUGGAUUUCUUUCUCUCUCUUAAAUUUCCAUAAAGACAAGUGGCAUUCUUCAUCUUAUAUCUACUUCUCUGUAAUUCAGAGUGCUAUGAGAUCUUUGUCAGAACUAAUGCUUAUUAUAUGCAAACUGAUGGCCCAUUAGUUUGAUGGGUAAGACUGUGGUGGUGUGAAGACAGAGGUCCUGUGCCUGUACAUGCCGACCAAAGGUUGAGGAAGCAACCCAUACCAGGUUCACCCAAGAGCUGAGCCCAUCACACUUUGACUUGUGAUGGCAGAAAUCAUGUUGUGCCAGAGGAAGGAAGCACUAGCAUCUGUUUAGUCAUUGUGUCUCUUCAUUUUACAGUGUCAACGAGUCUAGGUUUCUCCAGUGCCAGCUGAUGACAGGGAAGAGGGUACUGUGGGAUUCCCUAGGUAGUAUUGUAUUUUCAUUAUGUCAUAAUGAUGUCAGAGAACUAUUAUUGGCAGCUGCAAAGAUUCUAGAGCUGCUCUGUAAGAGUCUUCUCUGGGCUAUGUAGAAGAACGAACAGACCUCCUUUCACUCACCAUGGACCAAUCAGUUCUUUUGUUGGCAGAGUUCUCUCCUGAGAGGCAAGCUAGCCACAAAGAGACAUAGAAGCCAAAUCAUGCUGGAGACCUGGCUCCCUGAAGUGGAUAAUUCUCUGGACUGAAUUUGCUACCACUCGUGCUACUACCGUGGUGUGAGGAGAAGCACUCACCCCUGCUUCUUGUUCAGUUCUUAGUAGUGAUGGAAAGCAUUUACUGGAGAGUGAAUAAACGCUUCUGGCUGCAAUCAGUGAAAAUGUGAACUUAGAUGCAUAAAAUGUAAGUGAAGAAAUAUGGGGGAACCAGAAUCUAAGCCAGGUGAGCAAAGGACCCAUGUCUGACCCUGGGCUGUACCAUUUGAAACUGUAAAUAAAGGGAUCUCCCAUGUAAAAUACUCCACAGACCUGAAAACCUGGCAUGUUGGGAGGAACUUUUCAGAAGUCAUUAGAAUAGUAGUGGUGGUGGUCAUUAGAAUAAAGUGUUAUAUGGUAGACUUAAAUUUUGGUUUAUAUUUUGGUUUGACAAUGGUGUGGGGAGCAGAGUGAAAUGGAAUGCCUAAUCUUUAAGCAGUUUUGAUAGUUCAGUUGAGUGCUCUAGAAAGCUAUUUGCUGUUAUUCUGUUUCUUUUUCUUUGGUGAUCACUUGUAGGCGAGUAAGAUUGUCUUCCAUAAACACGGUUUUAACAAUGAGUCCGUAAGUGAUUAUGGAGGCCAAUUCUGGAUCCACACGUCCUUCCACAGUGGGGACAUUGGUUUUCAGGCGGGAGUUGAUAGUGGUGUGGAUUUGCCAAGCAUGCCUUCCUUCUAGCAUGUUUCUGCAGUGUGUCCUGAGUUUGAGUGUCAUCAAAGCCCAUGACACCUUUGGUAAAGGUUGUUCUCCAAUUGGAGCGCUUGCAGGCAAGUGUUUCCCAAUUGUUGGUGUUUAUACUAUAUUUUUUAAAAAUUUGCCUUGAGACAGUCUUUAAACCUCUUUUGUUGACCAGCAACAUUACGCUUUCCAUUUUAAAGUUCAGGAUAGAGUAGUUGUUUUGGAAGGUGAUAAUCAGGCAUCUGUACAACAUGACCAGUCCAAUGAAGUUGAUGUUGAAGAAUCAUUGCUUCAACACUGGUAAUCUUUGCUUCUUCCAGUACACUGGUAUUAGUUUGCCUGUCUUCCCAAGUGAUGUGUACAAUUUUUCAGAGGCAGCGUUGAUGAAUCUUUUGAGGAGUUGGAGAUGGUGUUUAUCAGUGGUCCAUGUUUCACAAGCAUACAGUAAGGUUGGUAGGACAAUAGCUUUGUAAACAAGCAUUUUGAUUUCCCUGCGAAUGUCCUGGUCCUCAACACUCUGCACUUCAAUCGGGAGAAAGCCGCACUUGCAGAGCUUAGGCGAUGCUGGAUUUUGGCAUCAAUGUCAGCCCUUUUGGAAAGAUAACUGCCCAGGUAGGAGAAGUGAUCAACAUUUUCCAAUGUUACACCAUUGAGUUGGAUUUGUGGCUCUGCAGAGGGGUUAUUUUGUGCUUGUUGGUACAGCACUUUGGGUUUUUGGAUGUUGAGCGAUAGGCCAAGAUUUUCGUAAGCUUCUGCAAAGAUAUUUAGGAUGGUUUGGAGGUCAUCCUCUGAGCAUGCACACACUACGUUGUCAUCAGCAUACUGAAGCUCUAUGACGGUAGUUACAGUAACCUUGCUCUUUGCUUUCAGCCUGCUCAGAUUGAAGAGCUUUCCAUCUGUUCGAUAUAUGAUUUCUACUCCAGUGGGAGUUUCCCUUCGACAAAGUGUAAGAUCAUGGCAAUGAAAAUAAUGAAUAGAGUUGGGGCAAUAACACAACCCUGUUUAACACCUGAUCCCACUGUGAAUGGUUCACUUUGACAGCCAUUGUUAUCCGUGAUUGUUGCUGUCAUAUUAUUAUGGAGGAGCCGAAUCAUUCUGUUUUAUUAGUGCUAGGAAGGCUGUGGAAUUGGCAAGGAGUUAUGAUGCAUUCAUUUGCACUUGUCUCUGUGGGAUCUGAAUGAUAUGCAGAGCUGUCGACCAAGGCAAUCCUCCUUGUAUAUUUAAUUGAAUGCCUUUGUUUCCUUUGUGACAGAGAUAGCUAGCUUCCGAAUCUGCAGUCAGGUCAUGAGUCCAAUCCAUGCUGAUCUCUGACUUGGGUCUUUUAGCCAGAAGGAAAACAAAAUUUACUGUUACUGGUAUUGUUAAAAAUACUAUAACAGCCCCUCCAAAUAUCCCUAUUUUCCAGGGACAGUCCUGGAUUUACAGAAACCAUCCUGGUUUCUGAUUUGAUCUUGGAAUGUCCUGCUUUUCCUUAGGAUGUUCCUAUUUUCAUCGGAGAAAUGUAGGAAGAUAUGGAGUUAUGUGACCCCUGAACAAGGAGAUAAAUAAAUUGCAACCUUUAGAAGACAUUUGAAGGCAGCCCUGGAUAUGGAAGUUUUUUAUGUUUAAUGUUUUAUUAUGUUUUUAUAUAUGUUGAAAGCCACCCAGAGUGGCUGGGGCAACCCAGUCAGAUGGGCGGGGUAUUAUUAUUAUUAUUAUUAUUAUUGAAUAGGAUGUUCCUACUUUCAUGUUGGAGGAGAAUUGUUGGAGGGCAUGCUAUAAUGGUGAUAAAAGUUGCAAUUGAACCAGUAUUGCCAAAGAGAUAGGCUAGAGUAGGAUGCAACCACCAAAGUUUCUUGAUUGGGAUUUGGGUCUCAGUCAGCAAAUAAAUAUUUGUUUUGCUUGUCAUUGCAUUCAUUUGCCAUUAUCUCAGAAUGUGGCAGAAUCGCUGUUUACAAGCAUUCAAAGAGCUACCUUAAAUUGCUAUUGGAAAAUGGGCAUAGUGACUGUUUUGUAACUCUUGCCAUAGAAAAUGUGGUUGUGUUAAUGUUAGUGCAAAUGAGAAGUCCCUUCUUCGAAUUGUUUGGGCCACCAGGAACAAAAGUCAGGAACAGGAAGUCAAUGUAUGGCAUUAAAGACUAACGACCAAAAUGUCAUCACAUAUGUGGAAAAACCACCCAUAAAAAAGAGAAAAAUGCACUAAAUCCACACCAGCAAUGAUUGGCUGUAUAAUGGGUUAUUUACUUUUUGGAUUUUCUGUUGUAGGGUGAAUCUGGAUUAAAUGUUUUAAAAAAAUAAAAAUACAGGCUGGCAUUUUGAUGCUAACAAUGCCAUGUGAAUGCUGUGAAAAACAUGCAUGCAUAAGCAGCACUGAUGCCGUAAUAAACUCAUUUGGAAGCACUUGUCACAAUCACAACAUAAAAUUCAGGACUGCUUGGAGGAGAACUGCCCACUCAAGUAACAUCUCUAUUGCAUAUGUAUGCAGUGUCAAUUUCAAUGCUCUAGAUGGCAGAAAAUAUCUAAAAACCCACUACUCUUUCAACUUGCUAGGUUAACUUUCUCUCAUAAAAACUGUAAAAUACGAAUACACAAUGGAAAAAUCUAAAUGCACUGUUGAUGGUUCUAGCUGUCUUCUGCUGCUGUUUUGGGGGUUAAACUCCAGUGAUUAGAAUUCCAUGCCUGCUAUUACCUUAAAAUUGAUGCCUGUGCUACCAUAACAUUUGCCUUUCAUCUUCUGCAGAUGUUCAUAUUCUAAAGUUACCAAACAAGUGCUCUCUUCUCUCUCUCUCAUUCUCUCUCUCUCUCUCUCUUUCUCUGUCUCUCUCUCUAACCACCUCUCCACUUGUGAUAAAAGCAUUGAAUAAUGGCUGAAAUCAAAAGAAUUCUGUGAUCAUCUAGAGAUGGCUGCCCUUCUCUCCUACUGACUCAGUUUCUUGCAACUAAACAUCUCCUUCUCUUUCAUUACUGCAUUACUGUUGGACAAGCCUAAGACCACAUUCAUACCACACAUUUAAAGUGCUAUGAUACCACUUUCAACAGUCAUGGCUUGAAACAACUAAUCCCUCUUCACAGAGAACUCUGGGAAUUGUAGCUUUGGGAAGGGAAUGGGGUCUCCCCAAAAUUUUCAUCACCUGUAACAAACUACAGCUCCCAGAAUUCUUUAGGGGGAAUCAUGACUGCUGAAAGUGAUAAGACUAGGAUCACAUACCCUCCAAUAUUUAUCUGAUGUUCUAUUCUACUGUUGUUGUUGUUGUUGUUGUUGUUGUUGUUGUAACCCACCCAUCUGACUGGAUUGCCCCAGCCACUCUGGGCAACUUUCAACAUAUAUAAAAACAUAAUAAAACAUUAAACAUUAAAAGACUUCCCUAUUCAGGGCUGUUUUCAGACAGCUCGGGGUUCGAAUAACUCAAUAACCUCCCAACAUUGCUCCAAUGAAAACGGGUGUCUGAAGGAAAAGCCGGACAUUCUGGGAUCAAAUCAGAAUCUGAGACGGCUUCUGUCCCUGGAAAAAAGGGACACUUAGAGAGUCUGGGAUCAGGCCCACAUCUACAGCACGGGCUGAAGGAAGCACAUGAGGCAGAAAAUAGCAUGCAAAGUUACAGGCUUUAGAUAGGUUAAAAACAGAGGGCCAUGUUAUGAAAUGAAAACCUGUCAAGUAAUAGAGUUAUUUACUGUGGGACUGAUAAUGGUGCUUUUAUUGGCAGUAGGCAAGAUGUAAGGCGUUCAUGAAGUGGAGUGUUCAUGCUCUAAGUGAAUGUUGAUGGUAAUACACAUCUGAGAGCGUUUCUGGCUCUGAGCCUCAGAUCACUUAUUUUGGAGUGGUCUCAGAGGGCUAUGGCUUCCCAUUCUAAUACCACAGAAACACAGUAAGAAUUAUGACUACGGUCCACUGGGAAGUUUUCUUGAAGAAGCUCCAAUUAAAUGUAUUCUUUUGGGGCCUCUGCAGAAGAAAUGCCCAAUUAAUUGCGCCCUGUUGUCUUGGGGGACCUGCUUGUCAGGAGCUUCCUUUACACACACACCUCAAUUUUUAAAAACUAGCAGCUAGCAUUAGUGGAGGACCCCCCACCCAUUCCCACCCACUCCUCAAAUAAUUAUGUGAAGCACUGGAGAGCUAAAUAAAAAUGCUCUAAAAUGCAAAAAUGAACAAACAAUGUUUGUAUACGACCUGCAGAUGGCAGUAAGAGAUAAACUACAGGAAAAUAUUCUUAAUGUAAUUCUGGCUCUUUCUCUCAAUGGGCUGCCAGGCUGCAAAAUUUGUAAUCGCUGCAUGCAACUUUCUUUUAGCCAGGCUAACACCCAUGUUUGUUUGUUUUUUAAAAGACUUGGCAUCUCUUGUUAGGAACGGAGUAACAUAUUCCCAAUAAUGUGAAUGACUUCCCAAUGCUAUUGCUCACUUACACAGUGAGGUUUUCUCUCAGGCUUUUUAUUUACAUCAGGGUUAUGCUUUUAGCAUAAUGUGUCAACAGCAUUUAUUGAACACGGUCACAUCAUUUUACCACUGGGCAGAUGCAAACAAAAAUGGGAAAAUCAUCUCCAAGUCAAAAUCAUCAUGGUCAUCUGAAUUAUUAUUUUUUUAACAUGCUGGGCUACUUCAAAGGUUUAAGAAGAAAAACAGUGAAUUACGAUAAAUUUACAGCCCAACCCUAUGCAUGUCUCCUCAACAAUAAGUCCUGUGACUGAAAUGGAACUUACUCUGAGGUAAGUAUGCACAUAAUUGCAGCCUUAAAAUGCCAUCCUAAUCACAGUUAAUAGAAAAUCAACCCCACUGAACACAUUGGACCUUCCUUCUGAGCAAACAUUAUUAGGAGUUGACACUUUUACCAUAUAAUCUCAUAGCUGUUGUCCUGUACCUGAGUUCAAUGGGACUCACUUCCAGGUCUACACUUAAGGUUUUUAACAUUAAGGAAUGGUUUUGAUAAUGUAGAUGGACACAUGACGUUCUACUUUUACGUUCAUGACGUCUUAUUACCUUGUCUUUUUUAUCACUUAAUUUUUUAUCGUUUUAUGCUGCUAUAUUGGUGAAACACUGCUCAUAUGUCCCUAUGUAGUGUUUUACCUUUUUUUUUUACUGCAUUCAAACUGUGACCCCCCCCCCCAUGGGAGCAAGGAAGAAUUAAAAUGGUACACAAGAGCAACCAACAGCACAGAUAGAAACAGCGUACUAGAAAAUGGUGUGGCCGGGUAUUACUUACAUUUGACAGAAAAAAGCAAGGUAAAGAACAUUUUAAGUAACAAGCAUGCCCUGCGACGUUUUAGAACGACAUAUCUAAUAUUGUUCUAAUAGGAGGAAAUAACAUUAAACAGGUCAUUGUAGAUCCAGCCUUAAUGUGGCUAAUGUAGAUGCAUAUAAUGCACAUUAUAAUGUGGCUAAUGUAGAUGCAUAUAAUGCACAUUAUAAUGUGGCUAAUGUAGAUGCAUAUAAUGUGAGCUGCCCGCAGGCAUCUGGUUGACGAAAACAGGAUGCUGGACUAGGUGGGCCAGUGGCCUGACCAAGCAGGUUGUUCUUAUGUUCUUAUAGUUACAUUGUUAUGAUUAAUAAAAGACUAUAUAUUCUAGACUGAUGCACAGGGAUUCUCAUCAGAGCCCUAGGUAGAAAGAAGGAACAAUGCAAUUAUAAUAAGAAUAGCACAGGAAAGACUUGGUAACAAAUAGUUUUGAAAAUCAGGAUGCAGGAAGAAGUGUGUGUAUUUUGCAGUCUGCAUAAAGGAAGGCAUCCCUUUGUAUGAAACAGAAUGGAAUGUCAUGAUCUGAAAUGCACCCAGAGGCUGCAUCAUUGAUUGCUAUCACGCCUUUGUAUUACUGAAGAGGUGAUAUGUUUCUCAGUCACACUACCUGUGGCUGGCUGUGUUGUAUUGAGGGAUUUGAGCAUUAUAAACGGCUUGAAUUUUCUGCUCUGACUAGGUUUGCUGUUGGUAACCUCUAAAACACACACACACACAGAGCCCAGAACUAUUGCAUUCCAAAGGAGAAGGCACUCUAAUCCAAAAUAGGACUUGUAGCUCAGAUUAAGGCUGCAAAGCCCUAUGCCCACUUACCUGAGAAUAAGCCCCUACUGAAAUAAGUGGGACUUAAAAUUGGGUCUACAGACUUGUAUAAGAUUAAACUGUAAAGCCCUUAGCAUUUUCUGGAUCCCUCAUCCUAGAAACGUUGGAGGGUAUAUUGUUGUUGCUUUUGGUGGGGGGGGGCUCUCAGUUUUUCUUUUAAACAGCUUCUGCAAACCUCAGGGUUUGCAUGCCAACGUUUCCUCUUUCUUCUCAGUGGGCCUGCUUGCUAUUUGGAGUGACUAUUCUAGUUUAUGGGACAUGGGUGGCACUGUGGGUUAAACCACAGAGCCUAGGACUUGCUGAUCAGAAGGUUGGCGGUUUGAAUCCCCGUGACAGGGUGAGCUCCAGUUCCUCGGUCCCUGCUCCUGCCAACCUAGCAGUUCGAAAGCACGUCAAAGUGCAAGUAGAUAAAUAGGUACCGCUCCGGCGGGAAGGUAAACGGCGUUUCCGUGCGCUGCUCUGGUUCGCCAGAAGCGGCUUAGUCAUGCUGGCCACAUGACCCGGAAGCUGUACGCCGGCUCCCUCUGCCAAUAAAGCGAGAUGAGUGCCGCAACCCCAGAGUCGGCCACGACUGGACCUAAUGGUCAGGGGUCCCUUUACCUUUACCUUUAUUCUAGUUUAUAUUCAUGCUACUGUAAUUGUUCCAUCCUUUUUUAAUACUGAAUUUUAAAUUGCUGAAGAGUAAAGCUAUAAUAAUAAAUGUUGGCAGCCUGCCAUUACUCUAAUUUCUUUCAAGCCUAGAACAUGGUUGCUCCUUCCUUGGUUUACGUUAAUAUUUCUAAGCUGCAGAGAAUUUUAAAGAAACCUGAAAAUGGGGGGAAACACACUUUUAACCACUUGGAAAUGCUGUGCAAUUGAACCACAGCAGGGGCCCCAGUUGGGCUGGUGCAUUAGUCUUAACAUAACAGUACAUCUAGCUUUGCCUGUAUCAUGGCUUCAGUAUUGGUAUGAGCAAAAAAACCCCCACACCUUGUCACUUCAAAGUGGUGAGGAAGACUUGGGUUCCUGUGGAAGAAACAGGUUUGAGUCUGUCAUACGGGUAUGGACUGGGGGAAUGCAGUUGAACUAGGGGAUUUAUAUCAGACAGUAGCAUGGACUUGCCUUCUGGCAGUCACCUAAUGAUCCAGGCAAGGAGGAUACUGGGUCAUGGUACACAGUGCAUUUGGUUAAACUGCCUACAGUUCCUUUACAGCCCUGAUGGUGCUCUUAGAAUAUUAUGCCCUGUUUUGGGGUGGAUAGGAUGAGUUGGAGCUAACUGCAAAAAGAAAGGAAAAUCUAUUAAAAUCUACAGGCCACCCAACAUAUGAUGCAGUUCCAGAACAUAGCAGAAACUUAUGGGCUGAUAUCCCUCAGAUGGUACCAUUUUUCUGGUGGCUUAUGGCAAACUUUCUGACCCUCAGUUUUUUGGCAUUGUGGUAGAACAGCAGCAUUCAAGGUGCUACAUUUAAUAUUUUAUUCAGGUAGGUUCAGAAAUGUGCAAUAAAUGUAAUUGGAAGAGUGUUUUCCAAUUAAAAUGCCAUAUAAAAGUACUUAAAUGCAUUGCUUAGCAUUAAAUACUUAUUGAACACUAAUUGCAUUUGUUUGCCAUUUUUCAGAGGCAUUUAAAGUGGCUGCAGAUAGGCUGGAUUCCAAUCUGGCUCAUCAGUGGAUUUUGAAACUGUUGUUGUUAUGCAUUUGAAGUGCUCUGGAAUGUAUGUUCAUCCUCUGAGGUCUUGCUUGUGAAUCCUCACUACCAAAUUCAGUGGAUCAAUGAAAUAAAAAACAUGGUUGAUUCCUAAAGGUGAGUUAAAAGCCCUCCUUGCAUAAGGUUUUGCAGUCUCUUCUCCUUUUGAAAUUUGAUGUGUGAGCACUGCAGGAUGUGAUCAGAGCUUUGCUGUUGACAUCUGUCUGUCUUGGGAGACAAUGGAGGAGUGCACUUUUGGGGGUGAAGUCAAACUGCUGGAAGGUUGUAGCACCUACUGUGGCUGUAGAGACCGAUAUAAGAGAGACAUGUUUUGUUGCACCUGGGGCAGAUGAAAGCGUCUGGCUGUGCUGCUGUGGCUUUUCUUCUCUCUAUGUUCCUCUCAGAGGUCAUUCCUCCUCUGGUCACUGCUAUGGAUGCACAACCUGACUGUCUCUGGCCACUGUGGUCAUCUGCAAGGGAUUCUCACAUGGUAGGAUUACGUUGCCAGCCUUCAAGUCACAUCUGCAGACAUCUUUGUAACUCAGAGCUGGUCUGCCAAUGGGCCUGGUGCCUGACGUCAGCAGUCCAUAGAGCAUGUCCCUGGGGAUCCUGCCAUCUUCCAUUCUCUGGACAUGUCCAAGCCAGCAUGGCUCACCUCUCCAUACCCUUUUUGAGAGGUGAGCCAUUGCUUUAUGUAUUAAAAAUAGAGCUUUAUGUAUUAAAAAUAGUGUGGGUGUUAGAUGACCAUUCAAACUCUGUGCUGGGAAAGUUGAAUUCUGUGACCUUUAUCUAUGAUACAGAUCAGAUAAUUUUGUGUAGUUUCCCCUACAUUCCUCUGCAACUUAUCCUGCACACAGUUCUUAUUGUGUUAGUUUUGGGAAAGGGCAUAAAGCUAUGUAGAUCACUGUGCCUCUGUUAUGGAUCACUGGCUAUCUUACCUUGCAAUCUCAUCUUAUCUGGCUUCUAAGAUUUCAGCAGGCAUUGCCCACUCAAUUUCAAACAUGUAUUUGUUUACCAAUGAGGGCUAAAACUUGCUUCAUUCAAAUGAAAGCUAAGGUUCUCAGGAAGUUGGAUUUUGCAGCCAAUACCGUGUUCUACACUCUUUCUAUAUCCCAACUUAUUCAUUGCAUGCACACAGUCUGGGUUAUGCAUCAAAGCACAUGGUGCUUUGCUUUAUAGGUACUGGAGCUUAAAGUCUUAAUUUUGACAAUGAGGGAUAUGGCAGAGCUGCCAGUGGUGAAGGAAGAGUAGGUCUCUUGAGGUAGAAGUUUUGGAAUUCGGCUGCUUAUGAAACAAGAAAUUUUGAAGAGUUAACCAUCAAUCCCUCAGUGAUUGAAAGUGAGGGAAUCCUAAGAGUUUUGCAGAGGAGUACGAGGGAAUCCGCAAGAUCAUUGAAGAAGAUUUAAGUGUGCACAGUCAGAUUUACUGACUGAGUAGGGAUAUCAGAGAAUUCUGGUGAAAAUGGAAGUGGAAAUUCCCAGUGAUUGCUUGCAUGUCACAUGUCCAGAACAGUAAUCAAUCCAGUGAAUAUUAUUGACAUUUGCUGCUACUGUUGCCUUCAGUCCACAAAUGGUAUGUAGUCGAUUAGGUUCUCCCACGCUUGCUCACCCACCCAAAUUUGCAUUGUGUUUUCUUUGCAAUAAAAUAAGCCAGCUGGAAUAACAUAAUGACAAUAAUGGAAGUUACAUAGUUUUGCUGCAGCAGCGAGAUGAACAAUUGUUUUUGUGUGUGGAGGGGGAACUGCUGUGGAAUGGAAACAGGGCUGCAUGCAGUGAGUAAAGGAUGGAACAGAAAACGGGAGGUGGUUGUGAAGGGAAACCGUGUAAGAGACAGAAGUCUCUGCAGCUUUGCCUGCACUUGAAAAAACAGUGACACUGCCCCCCGCCCCCGCCGCCCCAGUGAUACGAUGUAAAGGCAUUGUUUAAACCAGACAGUGUUGUUCCAUCUGAAAGGAAGGGCAGAGAGAGCAGGCAGUUGGCGAAGUCCACCUACCUUCAAACGGUCAGGCGGCACUGCAGCCUGGCCAUGUCUCUGAUUGUGAUCCGGAGCAUUAUUUUCUUGCCUGCUGAACUGUGAGUAUAGUCCCACCUAUUCACCAGGUUCUUCUUCAAAUCAAUAUUUCAAGGGUCUUUGGAUAGGGGAAAAACCCUCAAGUGAUCAUGAUAACAUAAAAUGAUCAGGCAGAGGGCCUUCAGAUGUCAGAUGUCAAGGAGAUGAGAAACUAUAUAACCUUUAGAAGACAUCUGAAAGCAGCUCUGCAUAGGUAAGCUUUUUAAUGUGUAACAUUUUGUUAUGUUUUUAUAUAUGUUGGAAGCCACCUAGAGUGGCUGGGGCAAAUCAGACAGAUUUGGGGUGUUGUUGUUGUUGUUAUUUUGUGUUGACUUGAAUGCUGGUUACUAAUUAAUGUAAAGUAUUAUUUUUUCGAUAAUGCCAGAGUGAAAUAUCCCCCCACUCAUUUUCAGAUGUUUCUGGUGUAUGACUGGAACACAGUGGGAGAUGCCCUUAAAGGCAGGUUCUAACGGCGUCCCAAAAAAAUAAAAAUAAAAUCCAUAGCAUUUUGUUGGCAGGACUUUUCACAUAUCCAGUAAACUAGGGGUAGGGGACCUUUCUUAGUCCAAUGGCCAUAUUCCCUCAUACCAGAGGUGGGCAGGGCCAGAGACCUGGGGUGUAGCAACAGAUAUGAUUCUUUCCUUUGUACAGUAGGUUACAUCCCAGCCAUAUGAAAGUCGAAACCCCCAUAGACCCAUCUCUCUCUCUUCUCAAUCCAGGUAAGCAGGAGGCAUUUUCACAGUUCAAUGACACAUUCCAGCGAGGCAAAAACUCUCAUGGAUGGUGCAAAGCAUCCAGGGAGAGUUGGGUGGCCCAAGCAGAAUUCAGUGGGUCAGCCAGAAAGGCCCGGAGAGCUGCAUUUAGUCCCCUGUGGCAAACUACCUGAUUAUGGAGAAUGAGACCAUGCCAUCCUCUUUAACAAAGCCGCCUUCAGAAGGGCAGCAGCAGUCAUUCAGCCUCAUGGCUCAAAUGGCAACUAAGCAUAUCAUAACAGCAGGGAUGAUUUCUCAAUUGCUGGCUGCCAGGGGCAAAAGAGCAUUAAGGACGACAAGAUGUUCCUGGCUUCAGGAGAAGAGGUCUUAGAAAAUGCUCAUCUCAUGCCUGACUUGUCAUAUGGCAUUCGGCAUUUUUGGAACACUUUUAGAAAAUGUGGAUUGUAGAAAGCAAAGACAGUAGACUUUUUUAUUAGCAAAAUGUUGAGGAAAGCCAAUGAGACCAAUGCUAAGAAAGCUACCAUCAGUUUGACUCUAUAGAAAUUACCUCUGAAAGUAUAGUCUUUGUGAAAUAUAGUCAUUGGUUUUUUUAUAUGUGUAGCAUUACAAUUUCUGUACUUCUUGACCUACUUCCUUUUUUCCUAUAAUGUUUUUGACCACAAUUUUUAUAAAAUCUCUGUAUUUUUUAUAAUUUAGAUGAAUUUUCUUUUUUCUUUUUUUGCAUAUUAAGAAAGAAAAUACCUUCAUAUUUUUAAAAGAUGAUCUCCAUGAUUAAGCUCCAUUUCACAACUCUCAAGUCAGGCUUGAUUCCACAAAAGUAAAGUAAUCCAUAUGAAAUUCACUGGAUACUGGAGCAAAUCUCUUACUGUCCAUGCUGAUCAUAGGUGAGCAUUCUAACACUAUAUAUAAUGUUAAUACAUUUUUAUUUAGCUUUUUGUUAAUUAUCUGGGACAAGUUGAAGUUGGGAGCUAGGGUGAAAUUAAUUGUACACAGUGCCCCAGUUUCUUGAGUUCCUUGAGUAAUUGUAAUGCAUAGCCUUUUGUACGUGCCAAAUAAUUCAGAAGGUUUUUCAAAAGAAAGAAGUUGAAAUUCAGCUGUCACUUGCAGGAUGGAGUACCAGUGGGCUUGGAAGCUGGAGACUCUCAAAUUCCCAGCUGUUAUUGAGGGUAUGAUGGCAAGGUAUUUAGCGGAAAGUGCUUCUCUGGCCUCACCUCCAAAAACUGCUCAUUGAUUAUUUGCAUAUUUCUUACCAGUUUGCUCCUUCUAAAUAACACCUGCUGCUCAAGUUGCCUUAGAAAGCUGACGGCACCUGUUUCAUCUACCUCUCCACAUGACAGGUAACGGAGGAACUCAUUCUUUCAGUCCUGCACUGGUAUGCAUAGUUUAAAUUGUUUAAUUUCUUUCAAAAUCGUGUAACUAAAAGCCCUUCAGAAAUUAGACUCUGUACAUUCAGAGAGAAGGUGAGAAGGCGAAUCUUGUCCCAAAUGUCACUGCCCCUGCAAAAUAUUGCGGCUAGAGUGUUGAUGGGUACAGGGUACCAUCAACACACCACUCCUGUGCUCAAAAGCUUGUACUGGCUGCCUAUAUGCUAUUUAGAAUCAAUGAGGUGGUGAGCUAUAUACAACUUAAAAUAACAUCAAUCAAGUAGGGAAAAUUAUAGUUAAAAAGAAAGCUGCAUAAAGAUAACAGAAUAGUCAACCAUGGAGACAAUUAAAAGCAAUUUGUUUGACAGCCAGAUGCAACAGAAAUGCCUUUGCCAGUUUCCUAAAACUUGUCAAAGACCAGACCUGGUGGGCCUCUUUAGGGGAGCCGUUUCACAAGCAAUUCACUACUAAUAUUGGUACUGUGGGACAAGAGCAUAGAAAAGCCCAAAUUAACAUGCCUUCUGUUUUAAAAUAUGUUGAUUGGAAGGUUGCAAGUUCCAGGGAAGCUUUCGGGAAAGUUGUGAGCAAAUAUGGCCUUUUUAAAAAAUGGAAUGGCCUUUCAAAACCAAGUGCAUUGCAAGGAAAAGUAAAUUGAAGUAAAUCUGUGUCAUCUUGUCUGUACUGUAAAUUAUAGUGUUUGCAUAGUUUUGCCUUAGUUAUCCGGUUCAUUAACACUGGGGACAAGUGCUUGUUAUAUGCUAUUUAAGUAAGUUGGCAUUUCUUUGUUCACACACUUUUACUGGCAUAAUUAGAUGUCAGAUGAAGUUUGAUGCUCACUGACCUUUACAGCAAAAAGGAAAGUAUAUACUCCUAAGCAAAACUUUAAUUUCUUAGCCAAGAUGACAUACAAAAAAGGCUGCAAAGUGAGAACAGUGAUCUGUUAUAUUGGAUGAGCGUCUGUUGAUGAUAGCACAUCAUCAUGUGUGUUUUCGGGGUUGUUGGGUGGGUUUUUUGGGAACCUUGCCAAUUUACAUUUUUUAAAUAACUACUUUCUUAACUACUUUGUACCUAACUCACAGCUCCUUACAGUCAGUUAUUCUUCUUCAACCAGUCUGCUCUUUCUGCCAAUCCUAUUGCUUUCGCUAAACCCUAAUAUUCUAUUCGUUUGUAGUUCCUUCUGCAAGAGAACAAACUGUUUUGGGGUUGUUGUUGUUUUUAUUAAGCUCUGCUGUGUCCCUCCUGUUCUCUCUCUUUGCUGAGAAAUUGCUGUUUCUUCAAUCUGUGGCUUUCCUCUGAGUCACAGAGUUGUUCCUUCUGUUUGCUUUUCUAAUUCUCUUACUUUCUUCCUCCUAAGGUGACAGGGGCCUGGAUUUGAUAGCGGAUUUGAUAGUGGUUCAUUCUUCUAAAACCAUCUUGGCAAGAAUACAGCCUAUAGUCUAGCAAGUAGUCCUUUAUUUUCAGGUAGGUAGCCCUGUUGGUCUGACACAGUUGAAAUUAAAAAUUAAAAAAUAGUCCAGUAGUACCUUAGAGACCAGCUAAGUUUGUGCUAGGUGUAAGCUUUCAUGUGCAUGCACACUUCUUCAGAUACACUGAAACAGAAGUCACCAGACCCUUAUAUAUAGACCCACCCCGCCCUCCCACUAUAUAUAAGGGUCUGGUGACUUCUAUUUCAGUGUAUCUGAAGAAGUGUGCAUGCACGUGAAAGCUUACACCUAGAACAAACUUAGCUGGUCUCUAAGGUACUACUGGACUAUUUUUUAGUCCUUUAUUUGUUUGCUUGUUUCUAUAACGCUUAAACUGAUACCAUAAUCACAGAUAUCACAAUCAUAACUGAAACCUCAUGCCAGCUUGAAGGCUUACAAUCAAGCUAUUAUUAACUCUGGGGUCAUAAAACUGAUGAUAGGCAGGAAAUGAAUCUAAAUAAAUAAAUGCUAAGGGCAAAGCAUCAGGAAAGAGCAAGGAGAAAAAUGGAGAAGAGAGAUAUGUCUAUGCAAAGAUAUAUAAUGUAUUGUAAGUUUGUGGGGUUAGCACAGGAAUGGAUUAAUGGAGCCAGAAGGACUACUUGAAACUAUAUAGUUUCCAGGAACACCUUCUGUUAGGAGAAUUAUAAGUCAAAUGCCUAGGUGUGACAUGGUUGGAGAAGAUUCUUCAUCCUUAUCCUCUCCUUUCUAGUCAGAGAAGAGACUGCAAACUAGAAAUAGUUUUAGAGAGAGAAUGAAUGAGAGAGCUGGAGAGUGCAUGGUUACCUUAGGAAUUUUUGUUUGGUGCUGGCUAUCCGACAAUCUACAAGAAAAGGUUAGGUCUUGAGAGGUAUUCUGAAAGAUGAAAGAGAAGAACUGAGUUAAAGUGCAGGGGAAAUAUAAUCCCAUUAAGAGGCUAAAGUGAAAGAGAGCAACAAAUGUACAAGCAAACAACUCAAAGAGAUGACCAUAGGAAGGCAAACUCUAGGUAGAAAUACAGAACAGUAAAAUCCUGACUCCUGGACUCUCUGAUAAAGGAGCAAUAUGAAAGGAAAUCAGCAAUUCAAGUGGACUGGCAAUAGCUAAGUGGUCGGAGUAGACUAUGCCCUCCAAGCUUCGCUGUGUGACAGUCAAAUCACAGAGCAACCUAUAUUGCCAGUUCUGGAAUCAGAUAUUUCCUAUGGAGCCUUUUCCUUUAAUCUCUCUUUUGGUUACUUUUACCCCUUCUAGCUCUCUUAAAUCAGAGACAGGGAAUCUUUUUCUGACCAUGGACCGUGUUACCUCUGUGAAAAACUGGGUGAGAGCAGCAGAAGCCCCAUAAGUGGCCACAAUCACACACUCUGUACACAGACAUGCUUCACACAUCCACAAGUACACACACACAGCAAGGUUGAUGUGAUGGCUUGUGAAUGCUCUUCGCAAGCAAUGCCUCUGCUCACUCAGAGAUACAUAUAUACAGUCUUUAUUUUACAUAUGUACAAGCAGCGCAUUACAAUCAUGCAUCCGAAUCCUCCGGCUUAGAUUCUGGGAGUGGCUUAUGCCAGUUCCUUCUCCAACAGAAAAGGCGGGGAAGUUUCACGUGAUACCUCUCACCUCUCCUCUUUAACACUCUCCUUUCCCUGCCAGACGGAAUAGGCAUUGUUUCACUGUCUGUGCCAGAACUUCCUGUGCAGUGUUGAGGCUCUGGUUCAACAUUUGUGAGCCAUUCCGCCUCCUGGCUUUCCCCUCUUUCCUCAAUCGCCACUUCCUGCCCCCCUCCCUCUGUCUGUCUCUGCUCCUCCCCUGCAUUCUCUGGCAAUACCAUGACAGUUGAGAGGGAGGAAAGAGAGGGAGGUAAAGGGAUGUGUGUGUGAGCAAGAGAGUUUCUGUAUUGUGUGGUGGCUUGCAAAAGUUAAGAGUCCCUUUCUCACUGCAGAGCACAGGAGCCAAGCGAUUUGGGGUCUUAGUAGACCACAAGCUUAACAUGAGUCAACAGUGUGGUGCAGCAGCAAAAAAGAAAAAGAAAAAAGCUAAUGCUAUUCUAGGCUGCAUCAACAGAAGCAUCAUGUCUGAUCAAGGGAAGUAAUAGCACCACUCUAUUCUGCCUUGGUCAGACCACACCUGGAAUACUGUAUUCAGUUAUGGGCCCCACAAUUGAAGAAGGAUGUUGACAAGCUGGAACAUGUGCAGAGGAGGGCAACCAAGAUGAUCAAGGAAACCAAGCCUUAUGAAGAACGGUUGAAGGAGCUGUUUAGCCUGGAAAAGAGGAGAGUGAUGAGAUAUGAUAGCCAUCUUUAAAUAUCUGAAGGGCUGUCACAUGAAAGAUGCAGCAAGCUUGUUUUCUCCUGCUCUGGAGGGUAGGACUCGAACCAUUGCCUUCAAAUUACAAUAAAGGAGAUUGUGACUAAACAUCAGGAAGAACUUUCAGACAGGAAGAACUGUUCAACCGUGGAUCAGUCUUCUUUGGAAGGUUGUGGACUCUCCUUCCUUGAAGGUUUUUAAGAAGAAGUUGGAUGAUCAUCUGUCAUGGAUGCUCUAGCUGAGAUUCCUGCAUUGCAGGGGGUUGGACUAGAUGACCCUUGGGGUACCUUCCAACUCUACAAUUCUAUGAUUCUAUAAUUUGGCUAUGUAGAAAGAGAGAGAUCAUUCUAAGAAUGAUAAGAAGCAGUGGGCAAAGAAGAGGCUGAGAGGCUACAAAGCCAAUUGGGAAGACUUCUUGGGGCAGCCCACAGGAUGCUGGUUCCCCAUCCUUGGCUUUUAUGUAGGAAGGUGGAUCCACUUGAUUCCAGGAUCUAGUUAAAAGAAGGUUAAAAGAAAAGUAGACAUGGAGACAUUGGGUAUCACUGAUUUGUUGAGAUAGACAUUCUCCAUUCUUGUGGAGGUGGAGGCAGUGAUGAGGGCAGCAAGAGAAGAUUGCAGCAAAGUACUCAGAAGUUUGGCUGCACUGUUGUAGAGCAUUUCAAAAUUGCCUGGAAAAAGAAGUUGUUGGCAAGAACUAGUAGUCUCUUCAAGUGACAUGCCCAAGCAUUGCACUGACAUAUUGAUGCUUUGCUGUUCCAAUAUUCAAAUGAAAAUGAUAAAUAGUUGCCCAUUUGAGGGACUGGGCCUCGGGAAAAUUCUUGUCUGAAAUAGUAGCAGGCUGCCAGAUGUUGCUUUAAGCAGUGUCGUUUUGUUCUUGUCAGCUCAUCCAGUUAAUGGAAGCAAUUUUGGUGCACUCCCUAGAGCACCUCAUGUAUAUGUCAAAAAUAAUUUGCAUGUGUUGGAAUGAAAUUAAUAGAGUUGAUUAGGUGGAGCAUAUUUCUUGCGUAAGGUUUCACACGGGGUUUUCUUCAGCAAUGUGAGAAGUUAUGCACGUCAGCAGGUACAAAUCGGUGCUUUGUGGCCACAGGCUAGAGAAGGGAUGGGCAAGUGGCAGUGUGCAGGGCACAUCUGGCCCUCAGAGCAAUAUUGUCUGGUCCCUGGCAGUCCUGACGAAUUUUAAUCAAGGCAUGAUCAAAAGUUCUCAGCUUCACUUGCAAGGAAAAGAAAAGUUCCUGCAGUAAGACAUACAGAAACCCCACACAUAAUUAGUUCUCCCUCUUGGAUUUUGUACAUACUGUGUAAAUAUGCAUAUUUGUGUAUAAUUUUAUGACAGACUGCAUAACUGGGAAGCCUUUACUGCUUGAUGGUGCCAAUUUUAUUAGGGAGCCUGCCCAUUUGUGAAGGAGUCUAGACAAAGCACAUUGAGCUUCUGUGAGCUUCUGGACCACUGUCUAGAGAACAGAAUGAGCGCUGAAAACACAAGCCAUCCCUUUGAAACAUGUGCAUCUAAAGUGUUUUCAGUGUACUUAGCAAAGUGUAUGCGUAGCAAAUAUGGGUAUUAUGCAGUUAAACCUGCCAAAGAGCUUCUGAUUGGGAAGGGGUCCUUGUUGAGUAUGCACACAGUGGCAAAUGAAUGUAAAUGGCAAUUAUACCUAGCAAAAGCUCUUGUGUGCUUAAACAAUAAUUUAAUUAACAAGAGUAAAAAAUAACAAGUCAACAAUUUCCACUAAAAAGAAAUUAACUAUAAAGUGAAGUUCCACAAUAACAUAUAGCUCACAAUAAAUGCAACUCAUGGUGGUGGAAAUUAUGUAUUUGCAUCUUGAACAAAAUGAAAAGACUUCAGGCUGAUCUUUUCUUCUUUUUGUUGUCUCAUAUAUAUGAAAUCUGCAUGCCUCACCAGUUUAGCUCUGUUUUGUAAUUUACGUAAAGGUUUUGAAAGGCUAUAAACUGAAACAAAAUGGCAACUUUAUGAAUCUCAGCAUAUUUGCUAUUAGUUGCUUUCCUUCAUGGAAUCUUUUUGGUGACCUAAAAGUAUUGCCACUUCAUCUAACGACCCAUCCAAUGAACCUAUUAAGAUUGCUUGCCAAAGCAGUAAAGGAUAUAGAGUUUUAAUAUUUGUUGGGGACUGGCAUUUAAUGGGUUUUGUAAAAAAAAUAAAAAAUGGCAAGUUUGCACUUUCCCAAUCUAGCCAUGAUCCAAAGACCCUUACAACUAGUUCCAUGUUCCCAAGUGGGGUUUGACCUGGCAUUUGUUAAACAGCAGCUGCCCAAGCUGCCUUACCUACAGUAGCUAAAUAUUACAUGUAUUUAGUAAUUAAGAGUCGGUGUGGUUGAAUAGUCUGAGCAAUAGAAUUGGACCCAUGAGGUUUCUCUGCUUAGUUGGGGACUCAGUUCUCUCCAGUUUGAAUGCUCGGUCCCUAAACUGGUAACCCACUAAAGAAGGAUGUCAGAGUGAACACAGGGAUAUUAAAGCAUUCUGAAUACUAGAAAUAUGUUUAAAUCAUCGUAUAUCUGGUAGCAAAAAUGUCCACAUCAUUAAAAGAGCAAAACAUAAAGAGGACUUCUCUGCCUGAACUCAUCUUGUAAUACUAAAUUGCUAGUAGCUGGGUUGAUAAUCUGAUGAAGUAUCUCCUCUCAAUGAAAACAGUUGAUUCAGGGCUUGAUCUAGUCCUCUGGCUCUAAUCUUGCAGGAAAAAUAGAUUUGGAGCAGAAAAUGCAUAUUCAAAUGAGCCAUUUUCUUAAUAAAAAAAACAACCCUCAGAGCAUAGCCUGAUUCACAAAAUCCUUCAACAUUCCAGGAGCAGGCAACAGCAGCAAAUCUAUAUUCUGAUGACUGCCUCUUUCCAACACAUGGGAGGAGGAAAGGAAAACACAACAGGCGACCAGUAUGUCGUCCAGGUGGAGCAGCUUUGUGGCAGGCAAAGCCUUCCCCACUAAUGUCAUUCAUGAGGAAGAUGCCCAGCCAACCAUGAGGAGCAGCAGCCAGAGCGCCUUCCCAAAAAUGCUGGAGAAAGCAGACAUGAUGUGAAAUUGUUAGAUUAUGGCGAGGGCAGAAAAGUGGAGAUGUUUGGAUGAACUGUGAGAGGCACACUGUGAGAGGGCUCGAGAGGCUGUAAAUAGAUUUCAUUUCAUUUAAAUAUUUCGGGGCCACUUUUCAUUCCAAAUCUCAAUGUGCUCUACAGUAAAAACAAAACAAAAGCAACAAUACUAUGAAACAUCAUUUUAAAAAAGCCUCCGCAGCAGGCAGGUUAAUUAAAAGCUGGCACCCAGUGAUUUGGAAAAGCCUGUGUAAACAUACAUUUUUAGCAAGAGAAACAAAUUGCUGUUGGUGCCUCCUGUAUCAAUGGCAAGGAGAUCAUAGUAACACCAAUUUUUAAAAAAAGCAUCUGGAAAACUACAGGUCAGGUAGCUUAAUGUCUGCUCCAGUGAAACCGGUGCAAAGCACUGUAAACAAUAAAACAACCUAGUAUAUAGAAGAACAAGUGUUUCUGAAGGGGAACUAGAAUGUUUGCAAAGGCCAGUUCUCUGGCUCAGUAACCCUUUAGAGUUCUUAGAGUAACCCUUUAGAGUUCUUAGAGAGGAUCAGCAAGUGAUCCAGCUUACAUGCACUUGGACUUUCAAAAAGCUUUUGAUGCAAUCCUUAAGGUUCCUGAAGAACCUUGGUAGUCAUGGAAUAAGGGCACAAAUCCUCCUAUGGAUCAGUAACUGUUUAAAGAGCAAGAAACAGAAAGGAGAAAUGAAUGGACUUCUCCCAAUGGAAGGAAACGGGGAUUCCCAAAGAUUGAUACUGUGACCUGUGCUUUUUAACUGACUCAUAGAUGAGUUGGAGUUUGGGAAUGAGUUAGGUAGUCAUGUCUACCAAUGACACCAAAUCCUGAGUUGGUAAAUGCAAAAAGGGAUUGUGAGGAGCUCUAAAAAGAUCUCUCCAAGCUAGGUGAACGAGUGUUCAAAUGGCAAAUGGGAUUCAAAAUAAGCAAGUGUAAAAGUGAUGCACAUUGGGGCAAUAAAUAAAUCCUAAUUACCUUAUACAGUGACUGGCCAGGGAAGAGAUAUUGGGCCAUGGUGGGAUAGUUCAACGAAAAUGUUGACCCAGCAUGCAGCAGCUGUGAAAAAGGUGAACUCCAAUCUAGGGAUCAUUAGGAAAUGAAUUGAAAAUAAAACUGCCAAGAUCCUAAUUCCAUUCUACAAAUCUAUGGGACAAUGCACUUGAAAUAAUGGGUGCAGUUCUAAUUGCCAUACCUCAAAAAAGACAUCAUAGAGGUAGAAAAGGUGCCAUAAACUGCAACCAAAUUAAUCAGAGAUGUAGUGACUCUCCUAAGAGGAAACGUCAUGGGAUUUAGAUUAGAAAAAUGGCACACAAGUGGGGACAUGGUAGAGGUGUAUAAAAAUGGAUGUUGUGGAGGAAGUAAAUCAAAGCUAUUCUCCCCCUUUCAUAAUACUAGAACUCAGAGACAAUGAAGUGGAAUGUUGAAAGAUUUAGAACAUAUAAAAGGAAGUACUUAUUCACAUAGUACAUUGUUUAACUGUGGAGUUCAUUGAUAUAGGAUGUUGUGAAGGCCACCAACUUGGAUGGCUUUAAAAGGGGGUUAGAUAAAUUCGUGGAGAAUAAGGCUACCAAUGACUACUAGUCACGAUGACUGUGGGCAGAUCUACACGCGUCCUUUAUAGCAUUAAAAUACAUUAUUAAAAUGUAUAAAACCAGAGGGUGCUGCAGACCAGCAAACCACCAGCAAUGGGAAACUGCCUUAAAGGUUUUGAACGUUAUUAAAUAUAACAUUCUAUAAGAUCAUUGUAGAUCCAGCCUGUGUCAGAAGCAGUAUGCUACUUAACACCAGUUACCGGGGAAGUCUCUCUCAACUUCUCAUUUUUUCAAGCUUAAAUUCAGUUUUCCACAUUAGUGGGGGGGGGGGGAGUCCUCAUAAAAAUUCUUCAGCAUUUUAGUGCAAUUUACCCUGAUAUGCACAUUUUUGUACGCAGCUUUCCCUACGCAUUUUUCUAUGUCAUUUUCUCGAACAUAUGCAAUUUAAUGCACAUUUUGUACGCUUCAUUUGGAUGCAGAAUGGCAUUGAAAAAUUCAGGGAAGUGACAGUUUCAAAGUACGCUGCUUUUCAGUUUGCACUUUGUUUUAAAAUUGUGCACUAGAAUCACUUUUAAAUGCACAUUGCACAGUAUUUCUUCCCCACCCUUAGUCACUGCCACCAUAGCUAGUGUUCAGGGAUGAUGGUAGUUGUACUCCUGCAACAUCUAGAGUGUCACAGGUCCCCCACCCCUGCUGUACCCUAUAGUGAGCAUCCAUUUACCUCUGCAUUUUCUAUCACUAGCGAAAUAAAUACAAUUCCAGGAGGCCAGUUAGCGUUACAUUUUCUGUUGGCAGGAAAUGAAUACAGUGCACAAAGCGGAGGUAGAAUUAGCAUCUUUCAUAGAAAGGGAUGGCAGAUAUAAGAAGUGGAUGGAUGUUUAAUUAUGCAAAUAGAGUUCUCAGAUCUGAUAAUGCAGUGACAUGAAACUGUCUUCACUGCAUAGUCUAAAACAUAUGACGAGGAAGAUUUUAUCCCUAGGCUCUGUCUUUGGAAGGUUUUUUUUUAAAAAAAGAUAUAUAUAUAAUUUCUAGGAGGGCUGGUCCCUUUAAAAGCACCAAGAAAAAUACAUCUGAGAUUUUAAUAUGCCUUGCUGCUGCCAAGCCCCAUUCAUAAUGACAACUGAAGUAGGCAGACAGUUCUGUCUCCUGUGCAUUUAUUAAUUUGAAGAGGGAAAAAAAAUGUCAGUGGGAAAGUUUUAUAACUAGCUCUAGGAGAUUAAAUUUUGUAUAAAAUAUUGGGCCCAACUCGGCCUAACUUAAAACUCUUAUCAGUCUGAUUAAUUUGAAAGAGCAAGAUUUAAUCUCAGUUGAUUAAAAAUAACAUGGCUGUACCAAUCCAUUGUCAUUUGACUCCAAUUCAAAUGUACCCCAAGAAAUCCAUACAAAUAAAAUACCUGCCGGAGGUAAUUAAGCAUGACACCAUUAGCAGGUUAGAAAAUGAUGUCUUUACUAGAAAAGGGGUCUCAAUAUAACAAUAUUGAGUUGUUGGAGUCCACAAUACCCCAAUGUAAAGGACAAAAACAUACACAAACAAUAUGUUAUCAUUAUUCACCUUUAGGCGCCAGGCGAAAACAUUACUUUGACUGAUUAGCGUCCUAUGUGCUUUUAAAUGUAUUUGUGGGAGAGGGGGUUAUUGGUUUGGUUUAUUUUUGUUCUUGUUUUUAUUAUGUAUUUUGUGUUUUUGUCUUGUAUUUUUAUGCUGUGAACCACCCUGAUAUCUUCAGAUGAAGGGCAGAAUACAAAUUUAAUAAAUAAUUAAAAAUUAAAAAUCUAACUGAUCCCACUGGUUUUUAAACACACCAAAAAUGUGUCAUUAACAUACAUAAAAUAUAACCGUUUAUAUGUAGCUUAUUUGUCUGAUUAUCACAUCUGUGAGAAUUUUCUGAGGCGUAAGAACAUUCCUAUAAUAAAGUGGACCUUGACUGGAUCUUGUUGAGGAAAUAUUCACCUGUAGACUUUGAACCCAAGUGCCACAUGAAUUGAACACUUCAAUGGACCUCUUGUGUUUCUUGCAAAAUUGCCCAGUGAGACUGUGGUGACUUUAAGAAAGACUUGGGGAUUUUGGAGCCUGAACUCAAUAAGCCUAACUGCUAGCAUGUGACUGUGAUUACACUAUACCUAUACAAGAGUAGGGAAGAACUUUAAAUAUUAAGGGUCAUAGCAUCAAACUUAGUCGGAGUGAUUUGGGCACCAGUGGGGAGGAUACGUCAGUCACCAACAGAAAAAGGUUUGUAUUAAUCCUAUGUAAUAUAAUUUGAAUGCUAGUGUUGUUUGUACGAAGGAGAAUAAAAAGAGGUUUGUAUUAACUUUAAUUAAUUUAAUCUGAACACUUUGACUACAUGUUUAUAUAGUCUACCUGAUUGGGUCACCAAUAAGGCUAGUGGUUUAUCAGUGAGGGAAACCGGUAAUUGAUGGGAGCUGUUAUGUAUAAAUAUAUUUGCAGAUGUAUAACCGAAGAAGCAAAUAAUGGAAGAAAGAUAAAUAUUGGGAAUCCUUGUUAUCUAUCCGAGAAGCAAGUUUUGUAAAAUAGUAAGCUCCUGUGAAAGUUUCCUCAGUGGAGAACAUGUUUUAGAAAAUGAAAAGCUCCUGUAAAAAUAACAAGAUAAAAUUUUGUUGGAGCAAAUCUCAUUGUAGUAAUUUAUAAGCUAUGGCCUGCACAGGUUGUUUUCUCCUUCUCCCUCCCUCUCUCUCUUUUUGCAAAUCAAGCAGCCUAGGCACAAUCACCAUAAUUCACAAUUCCAGGAGCAGAACAGGCAAAACAGUUACAUUAAGCACAUUGUUGCUGUGAUGUUUUGUAACUGCAUCACUCGCACAGAUGGCACUUCCCUCUCUCUUUUUGGUAUCGGCAAUGGCAAGCCAUUCCAGUUCUGAGACUGCUCUCCUGUUGUCCCAGACAAGCUGGCCUCAGCCCAGGGUUUGUUUGAUCACCUCUCUUCUAGGAAAAGACAUCUUUGGGGAUGCUGACAGCAUUGUGGGUUGUUCGGCUUCUUCCUGUAUACUGUCUUAUUGUACAUUUUAAUUAAGGAUGUUUUAAUGAUACUGUGGGUUUUAAUUAUGGAUUGAUGUUAUAGUUGUAAACUGCUUAGAAGCCAUUUUGGUAUAUAAGUUAUAUAAAACAAAUUUUCCUGGAAAUUCCACUUUCUGUUUAUUUUCUCAUGUGCCAGUCUAAUCCUUCAAGAGCAGAGAAAGGUGAAAGAGCAAUACUUUCCCCACUUCCUAUUUCACCUUUAUAUUCUUUGGAAAUCUCACAUCAGCAGCUUGAGUGGGGAGCUAAACCUUGAAAAGUAUAUAGAGUUGAAAUAAGAAGUAGGAAAGAUUGUCAAUCUUCUGUACUUCUUCUUUAACCUCCAUCUGCUCUUCACAGGGGGCCAGUGCCGGAUUUACAUAAAAGCUAAACAAGCUAUAACUUAGGUGCCCCCCCCCAAAAAAAACUAAAGGAAAAAAACACUGGAUGUACAUUUCCAAAAUAUAAGAUAAAAAACAAAUAAAAUAAAACCUACAUACAGCAACAGUGUUUUGUGUGGUGUAGGCUUCUAUUUUGUUAUGUGCAAAUGGCUUUAGAUACUUAUUAGGUCCAUAAAUUACCAUAUAGCAUAUAUUCAACACAAAAAACACCGACAAUUUGUUGUUGACAAAGGACAGCUGGACAUAUAAAGGGUCCCAUUACCUUCAGUAGUUUAAAGGUAAAGGUAAAGGGACCCCUGACCGUUAGGUCCAGUCAUGGACGACUCUGGGGUUGUGGCGCUCAUCUCGCUUUAUUGGCCGAGGGAGCCGGCGUACAGCUUCCGGGUCAUGUGGCCAGCAUGACUUCAGUAGUUUAGGGCCUCAUCAAACCUAAAUCCGGCCCUGCAGGGGGCAGCCACUCUCAUCCACCUCAUGGCAAAGGGAACGAAGGGUGUGUUUGGUGGGCCCUUGGGCUUCAUGAAUGCCAGAGGAAGUCCUCAAGGGUGCCACACUGGUGAUCCCAGCACUAGGGUAGCUGAGUAAUUUCAGUACCAAAACCAAGUUGGUGGCCAGAAUGAAAUGGAUCCAAUGACCUCCAACAUCUCUGGAGGGCAAAUCAGGACAUGCACACUGCACCAUGCCCCCCACCCAGGUUGCGCCAUGGCAACCUGAGGCCUCCUUAGAGCAUCCUGGGAGUGUGUGCAAGCGCCAACAGUGGGCCUCACUCUCCCGUGAGCUGAUGGAGCUGUAGUAGAGAAGAAAGGUGUCAUAUUGGUGGGGAAGGGCAGGAGCUCUCAUGCCUCCUCAAUCCUGCUGCCACCGCAGGAGCUGAUUCUGCAGCCCCCCAUCUGCAGGCUGCGCCAAAUCGGUGUGUCCCAGGACAAAAGCAGAGCCUGUGGUGCCUUCAAAGGAAUUGUGAACUUCGCACUUGGAAGUUAUGGGAUCCAGGUGAUUGGUUGCAUCUAGGCAAACUGGAAGUUGGACUUUUAGCAUACUCUAGCAACAUAUUUAGGUAUGAAAUACUCAGUAUCUCUAUUUGGUGGCCUUUUAUUACUGUGGAGGAGUCAUUUUAGAUUUUGGUGGUAUGUCUUAAGGGAGGACAGGCCUGCCAAACAAGGAUUGUGAGAAAAAGAAUUAUUGUCCAUAUAAGGUGGUAAAAGUGAUAGGAAAGAGGCAGUUUUGUUCUUCCAAAUCCUGGCAUGACUGCAACAUGCAUAAGCAGGCCAUUAGUUCCAUGUGACCUGGCUACAAAUAUUUCCAGAUCUUUGCCUAGGCAACAGACUCUGGCCUUGGUUGUGACUCCCUAAGGUGUUCCAAGUUUCUCUGUGUGCCUGUUCUCCCUCCCCAUCUCUCUCCCCAUAUCCACUUCUUUGCCCUGCUGUUUUCAUGCUUGUCCUAACUCCCUUCCAGGUGGAAUUUUCAGUUUUAAUUCUGGUUUGCUCUCAAGUCAGUCCAUCAAACAUUCCCCCUGUGAAACUGCUCCAAUGUCGUAUGCAAUCCUAAUCCUUCUGGGCUUCCUACUUCAGCUUCCCACAUGCUCUGCUACCAGUAAAGGUAAAAGUAAAGGAACCCUGGACAGUUAAGUCCAGUCAAAGGUGACUAUGGGGUUGCAGUGCUUAUCUUGCUUUCAGGCCGAGGGAGCCGGCGUUUGUCCACAGACAGCUUUCCGGGUCGUGUGGCCAGCAUGACUCAACCACUUCUGGUGCAACUGAACACCGUGAUGGAAACCAGAGCACAUGGAAACACUGUUUACCUUCCCGCUGCAGCGGUACCUAUUUAUCUACUCACACUGGUAUGCUUUCGAAUUGCUAGGUUGGCAGGAGCUGGGACAGAGCAACGGGAUUUGAACCGCCAACCUUCUGAUCAGCAAGCCCAAGAGGCUCAGUGGUUUAGACCACAGCGCCACCCAUGACCCUUUAAAAAUCUCACACCCAACAUGGGGCUGGAACCCACAACCCUGAGAUUAAGAGUCUCAUGCUCUACCGACUGAGCUAGCCGGUGUUAAAACUAUUUUCCACCCCCUGGUAUGUUGAGUUUCACCUGCUGUCUUAGUUUGAGGCAGGCCUUCCCCCUUGACUUUGCCUUCUUCUCUUGAAUGCUUGUUCCUCAAUUAGGUCAAUUAACCCACUCCACACCCAUCCUCUCAGAGUACUCCAACUUUCAUAUUGCAAAUGCAUUAAGCACAUUAAUUACUUAUCUUUAAUCUUCCUCCUUCUUAGCUAAUAAUCUUAUAUAAAGCUUGGCUCAUCAGUCCCUUUGCUAUCAUUUGCUAAGCUGAAAAGAUCCCAAAUGUUCCAUUGUGAAGUGUGUGUAUAGAUUUCAGUAUACUGAUAGCUGUACAGCAACCAUAAUUCCAGCACACUGACACUGGACUAACACAAUUUUACUUGUACUUGACACUUGACAGGGGAAUGGGAGUCGGCGUGGCAUACAGAUGAAAAAUAGACCUUGAUCAGAGACAGAUGUGUUGAAAUGGAAAGGGAGAAAAGGUCUGUUUAUUUGUUUUUACAAACAUUGCUUGCGGGACUGCUCUUUUUCCGCUCUGUGUAUGCAGGUCUCAUUAGGAGAAUUUUGCAGCAGGGAAGGAAGGUAAUUGCAUACAUUUCAGUUUUCCAGGAACAGACUCUCAGCUCUAAUGGAAUCAUGGUUUCGAUGCACUUUCCUCAGCUUUCUGACUCGAUGAGAAAAAGCAUUGACUAGACUGGAGUGUUUGGCAUCACCGGCACAUCACUCAUGAGCCACAGAACUGCUCUUUGUACCCAAAUCAUAUUGCUUGCCCUUCUUGGAAUCUGCCAUUUCUUCCUUCUUUAGAGGAGACAGUCUGUACUUCCACACUGCUACUGUUAUUACAGGUUUGCAGUGUCAGUCUGAAUGAUAUUUGUGGGUACCUUCCAGCUAUGCCUUGAGGCUUCCCUGGAAACCUGGUGUGGAGGCAAGAUCUGUUAGAGUCUAUUAAUGAUGUGUGCUCUUAUAGCCAAUGCUGACAUUAUACAGCAUUGGGCCUAGCAUAGAGCAAAACAGCCUUCUGUGUUUCCAGCUUCCAGAAUCAGCCAAAACUUAACGAACAGAAAGCUCCCCUUGGCCUAUUGUUCCACAUCCUAGAUGGGAAAAGGCCCACCAAUUUGUCUCAACAGAGCUCAUUCUCUAAUAACUGGUAUCUAUAAAUUUUACAUAAUACACAACUGUUUAUUGUACAUCAUAUUAUAUACCAUACGACUAUUAAUUACGUAUUAUCAACCUAUUUAUUUGAUUUAAGAAUGUUAUAUCUAUCUCAUGCAUUAUUGUAAACACUCAUGAAUAUCCACUAAUCACUACCCUCCAUAAUCUUACAUUCAUAACAACAAUAAUAAUAUUAUUUAUUUAGACCCCGCCCAUCUCGCUGGGUUUCCAUUGAUGAGCCAUAAUACAAUGCUUUCCACCAGAGAACUACAAGUGAAAAACUUGAAACUCAAAGGGUGUCCCAUAUCGACCUAGAGGAGAGCGUCCUAUAAUCAAUACCCCCCCCCCGUUCCACCCAGCCCCCACUAGCACCACAUCAGCCUAUAUACUGCCAUCGACAGUCUACCCCAUAAGGGCACAAUAGUAGACACAAUAGCCCCACUGCUAACACGUCAGGUCAAGGUGUAGCAAAUGUGAGGGAAGAGAUUGGCUACAUUUUUAAUUAUAAAAAACACGAAAAGCACUAUGAAACCCUGCAUGAAGGCAAAUUUAGUAGUAAAAUAGAUAAAGAGUAUCUCUUUUAACAAUGCUCUGGGAUGCACGCACACCACCCCUCACCCUCCUCAACAACCAAAUUCAACCUUUAUAAACUAAAAGUAGUAAAACAGAGGAGGUAAGUUGUAACAUGGUAAGCGUACCAAAAGGUGUGCUUGGACUAACAAAAAGUAGCUUAUUUAAAGCACCCAGCUUACAACUAGAGGAUGUCGCACAACCACGACUUUUUUGAGCCCCAAAAUAAGCCGACUAAACCCCUACAAAACCACCUAACUAUACAUUAAACCAAACCAUUUACCUAGGUUAGUAAAGUAAAUGAGAUUAAACACCACCACCCAGCCUUAUAAGUACCGCAAGGGAGCAAUGAAAGAAUAAUGAAAAACUUUAAGCAACACAUAGCAAAGAUAAACCGCUGUACCUCCUGCAUCAUGGUCUAGCAAAACACUAUCAGACAAAGAGAACCUUUAGCCUGACCUCCCGAAAUCAAGCGAGCUAUUUUUAGGCAGCGCUAAAUCAGAGUGCACCUGUCCCUGUAGCAAAAGGGUGGGAAGGCCUAUAAAGAGGGGUAAAAAACCAAUCGAGUUUGGUGAUAGCUGGCUACUCAACAAAAGAAUUUAAGUUCAACUUUAGGUGUAACAUGAACCCACCACUAAAAUUCCAUUUCUAAACCUAAAGAGAAUUAAUGGUGGUAAAAGGUAAAGGGACCCUUGACCAUUAGGUCCAGUCAUGACCGACUCUGGGGUUGUGGUGCUCAUCUCGCUUUAUUGGCCGAGGGAGCCGGCGUACAGCUUCGGGUCAUGUGGCCAGCAUGACUAAGCCGCUUCUGGCAAACCAGAGCAGCGCACGGAAACGCUGUUUACCUUCCCACUGGAGUGGUACCUAUUUAUCUACUUGCAUUUAGUGCUUUUGAACUGCUAGGUUGGCAGGAGCAGGGACCGAGCGACAGGAGCUCACCCCGUUGCGGGGAUUCGAACUGCCGACCUUCUGAUCGGCAAGUCCUAGGCUCUGUGGUUUAACCCACAGCCCUAUUGAACCAGAAUACAGCCCGAACUGAGACCCUUUUACCCCUUUCCCCUACCAUAGGCUUCUAAGCAGCCACCAAAAUAAACCACAUCAUAGCUGAACCAAAGCAAAUCCCAACAAUCCAACCACCCUCCCAACCCAUACCUUGAGUUAUUCUAUGAUAAUAUAGAAGCACCAGUGCUGAAACUAGUAAUAAGAAACAACUCCAUUCACACUCCUUUAAAUCAGAAUAGGAAAAAAUGCAUUGACAGUCAUUUAUUAUCUUCCCAAGGCAUCACAGUAGCUGCUCAUAUACAGUGAAGUAAAUUUGUGGUGUAAAAUCAUCCUAUAGAAUAAGACAUGGCUGUUUUUAUUACAUACACACCUGCUGUAAAAUCACUGCCACUAUAGCCUCAAGAAUUGACAUCUUUGGUUUGAUUAGGAUCCUAAAUGGCUGGUUCAUGGCAGAUCGUCUUGCUAAAUGGAGACAAUCUUUGCACUCUGAUCUUUUUCAGAGCAUCCCUAUGCCCACCUAUUCAGAAGCGAGCCCCACUGAAUUCAGUGGGACUUAACAGAUAAAUGAAAUGACUUAACAGAUAAAUUAAAUUGAAUUGUACUCUUAAAAUAGUUUAAAUGUACAUCAGCAUACAUAAAGGAAAAAGCAACCUUUUGGAGCUGGUUGCUCAUGUAAGUAAUGUGAGUUUUUGCUGCCUAAUGAAAUGAAUGACUUGUAAAGCAAGCCUGCCAGUUGCCUUUAUAAUUCUGGAAAUAAUAAAGGAUCUACCCAUGGCAGUUUAAACUUGAUGUGAGUAAUGAACUCAAACUUUAAGGUCAGCGGCUGAGGGAUGUGGGGUAGGGAUUUAGCAUCACUUGUUUCUAUUUUAAAGGUUAUUUCAAGUUCCACCCCCCCUCCCUAAGGGAAAGAAACGCAGAGAAGCUGGUCCUGUCUGGAACAUCAGGAGUGAGACAUUUGUACAUACGGACUGUCAGUAUAAUUGUCAAGCUAAAUGAAGCUGUCCCUGGACUCUGACAGUCUUGUUAGACUGGGCUCCAGAAAAGCACCAUGAGCAGACAGCCUGGUGAAAUAAAUAUGAACAGGGAAUGGAUACUGGGUGAGUGUUGUUUCUAAAUAGGCUUUGGCUAUAAAUAAUAUGUGCAGAAUGGCUUACCCCUUUCUCAGAUGGGCGGCAAUUGUGGCCCCUUGUGUUUGACCACCAUUCCCUGAGCAUACAGGUUUGGGCCGGCCAUUUAGGAAUUCCCCUGGCCAGCCAGGUUGCAGGGUGGGACUGCCCUCCAAAGUCAAAUUAAACUGGUCAGAGCCCCUCCUAGUGGGCAGUACCUCACUGGCUGAUCGGGUAUUGAUUGCUCCCAUGCCCAGUCAGGCAGGGACACAUAAAAGCCAAGAGCAGAAGCAGAAAGAUAGAACAGCGUGGGACAAGGCCCAGCGAGGGACAUGUAGCAGGUAGUGGACGGGCAGUGUCUAAGCACCUGGAGAGAAAACAGCAGCAUCUCGGGACCGCAAGUAAGAAUGGUUUCUUAUUUCCCCCAUUCAUGCAGUAUGUACAUACUGUUUUGGGUAGCUUUGCGGCAAGGCUUUUCAAUGCUAAUACGCUGAUCGGAACUUUGCUUGCUGAGUGUUGUUUUAAAAUAGGCUUUGGCUGUAAAGAAUAUUCACAGAAGAGAAAUAUGAUGCAAGGAGAAUUGUCUGGGCAGUUGCAUCCCGUCACAGAAAAAUUGCUUGCAAAAAUGCGUAAACUAGACAAAAACUGGUAGAAAAAUAUGUAUGUUAGGGGAAAUUGCAUACAACGUUUCUCGUGAAUUAAAAAAAUGAAAUUGGAGAAGCUGAACUUAAGAUUGCAAAAAUAAACUGGAAUUGAGAGAUUCACCCAUACCUACCCCUCACCAACCCAAAAUGUCACCUGGACCUGAUUUCCCUCUCAGUGCUGCUUGUUUUACUUUGUUGGUUGCUGAAAUCUAGGCACUAGCCACACAAAGGAGAGAGGUACUGAUUGGUACACUUCGGAAAGUCCUACAGUUUGCAAAAGUGCAAGAAGAAAACAACAAAAGCCCUUUGAGGGGGGGACCCUCUCCCCCAUACAACCUAAUGAGGAUUGAGCAUGCUUAGUGGCCAUGGAAUUGCUGAUCUGCAGUCAGAGUGGGGGGUGGUAACCGAAAAAAUUGAUAGUGAGAAGUGGGGGGAUGGAAUGGAGCAUCUAGAAUUCUGAAUGAAAACAUUCCACAUUGCAGCAGUGUGGCCCACAAGUUCCGUGUCGAAGUACUCUUGCGGCCCACUUGCUAUGAAAAAUUGGACCGCCCUGAUCCAGACUAACCGCAAACUAUAACCAAGGUUUGUUUGGCUCAGUGUGACAUGCAAACCGAGUCACUGUGUCACACAUCAGUUCUAGAUUUUUUUUUUAGGGGGUCAGUAAUGUCUUAACACUUGUCCAACACUUUGUCCAUCAUUUUGCUAUUCCCAGGAAGGUUUUCUGUCUCUGCCUCAGUUCCAGAGGCAAAGACAGAAAAAAUGUUGGAGAGAUUGCUUUUGCAUAAUUGACUAAAAUAAUGUAAUUAUAAAGUUUUGUUGAGCCUGCCUGUGUUUUUCUAAUGAUAGCCCGAAUCUACGGUGUCAACUGUAAAGCAGUUCAUUCAGUGGACAUGCUGUGUAACAGCCUAGGUACAGCAUUACCUCUGAAAAUAAUUAGUGUCUGAUCUGCAAGACUUACCUUUCUUAACAUACUGCAUGGUUUUCUUGUCCUUGUGUUGAAAAGUAUGUUAUUUCUUUAGCAGUUCCUAGUGACCUACUAGCUAAUAAUUUCACAUUGCUUUGUUGAUGUCAACCUUUUCAUAAUUGCCAACCAGGGCAGGGGCCAUACGCUCCCACUUAUAGAUGAGAUAUGCUAUGUUUUUACAGCUGGUCUUCCUCUCUCUUUUUUAUGACAAAUUUUAUACUCUGGUUGAAUGGUAAAUUGUAGAGCCUUGGCAAUUUACACUAGCAGAGUGAUACAUGACAUGUUUUCAAAUCAAAGUUGUUUGCAUGCUGUUUCAGAAGAAUAAAUGCAGCUACAUGUCAGCAGUUUUAAAUUCUGAAUGUGGAAAUGGGUUGGUGAAGCAAAUAGCAGGAGAGGCAGCUCAUGCUUCUCUUAUACUUGGCUAAGCCUGCAAGAGUCUAAAGCUAUGUAAUAAUUUUGCCAUGACUAGCACUCAUGAGGCACACCAGCGUUGCAGGCAAAGUGACCACUAGUCACACCACUAAGGACAGCUCCUAUCAAACAACGUGAGCCAAUGAAGACUGGAUGUGAACUGAAGCCUUGUGAGCUUCUGCUUCCAGUCCACCCCAAGCCCCUUUGAAGGAUGAUGACCCUUAAAGGACCAGCAUCCCGGGUUGCAGGCGACUCUCAAUGUGACUUCCUGCUUGGCAUGCUUCCUGUGCCAUUGGAUGGUGAUUCUUGGGCUCAAGGGAAGAUGCUUGUGAGGGUCGUGGCUCCAGUUUUGCUGUUCUGCAGGUUGCUGCCCAUCAGCUGUAGGUGCUGUGGCCUCAAACUCAAAUGUCAGGAGCCCAGUAGAAAAGCCUCAAACUCCUUUAACUAUGGAGCCAGAGACCCAGCAGGUUCAGUGUUGGGAGCAAGUCCCAUUGAACUCAGUACUUCCAUGGAAGCAUGCAUAGGCUGGGGGGGGGGGGGAUAGGUCCACAACCACAUAGUUCUUCAAGCAUUUACUAGUUCUACCUGUAAAUCUCUUGUAGCCAUGGGGCCCUUCCCCACCUUUUGAACAAAAUUUGUUUGGUGACAACAUCCGUGAGCAAAAAAGUUAUUUAUUUAAAAUAGAUACUGCUUUAUUCAUGCCUGCCCGUGUCUGUAUUGCCCAUUCCUGUUCCUUACAGUCUCACUUUAUGCCAGUCCUCCAGCUGAAUAAAAUGCCACAAUUUGUUUUUAGAAUGUUAAAAAAUCAUUCACAAUGCACAAUUUUUUCUGGAUAUUGUAAACUCUCUAAAUCUACUCCAGUAGUUUAUAAAGAAACCAGGAUUCUGCAAAUAUUGCUUUUAGUAGUGAACAAAUAGCUUGGCAGUGAUGUUUUUCUUGAACGAUCUCUGUAUUUUACAGAUAUAUAUUGCUUCUGGGGGAAUGCUUCUUUGGGGCUUACGGUGCAACAAUACCUUAGCAUCUAACCAGGCCUGAACCUAGCUUUUUUCAGGAUGGAAACUAAGAUACUCAUAUACUUCAUUCUACUCAGAAGUCAGUCCUACUGAGUUCAGUAAGACUCCCAGGGAAGGGUAUAUAGCAGGGGUCAGCAAACGUUUCAGAAAGGGGCCGAUCCACUGUCCCUCACACCUUAUGGGGGGCUGGACCCACCCUCUCCUGAAAGCACCCCCUGAAAGCACCCCCUGUUCCAAGCGAGAGCUGGAAAUAAACAGGCAUGUGACACACAACAGCCUGUUCCCUUUUAAGGUGGAACGGAACUAUAUCCUAACACCCCCCUCCUGAAAAGACCCCCACCGCCGCCUCAUCUUCGGCAGCGUCAUUGUCGUCCUCUGCCUUGGCCAGGGGUCUGUGGGGCACAGAGCCCAUGCCGCUGACCUGGGCGGCGAAGGCAGCCUCCCCGCCGCUGCUUCCUCCCGCUUGGCUCAUGGCCAUAUGUGGCUGCCUCAGUGGGAAGGAAGGGGCAUCGCCCAGAGGCAUCUGCGGCUUCGGAUUGGCUGCAGGAGCUUCCUGCGGCCAAUCCAAAGCCGCACCAGCAUCGCGGAAGUCAGUCCCCGCGCAGUGAGGCCUUCGAGCCGCUCCAGUUUAGCACAGGGACUGACCGAGUGGGUGGCAGGGUUUGCAAGGUUCGUGGGCCAGAUUAAAGAGCCUGUUGGGCCGCAUCUGCCCCCCUGGACCUUAGUUUGGUGUAUAGUAUUGCAUCCAUAAUUAUGGUUGCCAUCUUCUAUAUAGUUGUCUGGGAACAAGUCCCAUUGCAGUUACUUCUUAGCAGACCUGUGUAGGAUUGUACUGCAAAUGAGCAAUGUUUUGACAAAAUGGAACAGUUUUGUUAGAUCAGAUUAUCCACUGCCUGUCAUAUUGUUAGUUCUGCACUGAAUUUCUUACCAUUUUAGUUGUAAAGGAGUCUAGUCAACUUCGCAUCCUGAAAUCUACCCAAAACAUGUUACUGAAGAGUGUAAGAGAUUCACAGUUCAUUUGAAAUGCAUGCUUUUGAUUUAUGCUUCUUUUGUUGUUUCAUCUGACCUCAGGAAUCUUACAUUUUAUUGAAAUACUAUUUUCAGUUUAACAUAUUUGGUAAUAAUAGACUAGAGGUCGGCUACCUUGUAUUUCUGUGUUAGUGACACCCUGAAUCUAAUUAACUGUUCAUUUGAAAUGUAUUUGCAUUUUCAGAUCAUACGCUUUGAAAAGACAGAAUAUUAUUCUCCCACAUCUGUAGCAAGAUCUUAGCCUUAACAACUUUUGCUUCAUAGGAAAUAGCCUUAAGAUAAAUUGCAGCAAUUUCCCUCAAGGUCAUCAAUUGAGUAGCAAUGGCUGUUAGCAGAAGUUUUCUGGGGAUUGAUGAGUAUGUAGGAGGAGUUGGUACCUCAGUCCUCAUCUCAUUGUGAAUAUCCAAAAAAAUUUAAGGCACUGUUUUUUUGUAAACAAAAGUCUACAGACAAAUGAAUAGGUAGCUCAACCUUGCAGAAUUUUAACCCAUCAGGCAAAAUGCAGCCUCUGAAUAUGUGAGCUGUGUAUCCAUCAGACGCAUCAGAGGCUCAAUAAAACUCUGAUCCCCUUUGCCAGCACGAAGACAUUUUCUUGUACUCAUUUCUAAAGAUGUACAGCAGCAAUAGGAGAUGUUUAGCCCUCUAGAUGUUGCUGAACUCCAACAUCCUUCAGCCCAAUCAGUAUCGUCAAUAGUCUGGGUUAAUGGGAGAGAGGUUCCUGACCUCACUUUUCAGUUUUCAGGAAUUUUCCAUUUUCCUGAUCCUCUGGUCAUGGUUUGGUUUGCUCUCAGUUUUGCCAGAAUUUUCAGUUUUUGUGACCUGCAGGUCAAGGUUUUCUUUCUUUCUUUCUUUCUUUCUUUCUUUCUUUCUUUCUUUCUUUUGGAAUUUCGCUUUUUCUUACCCCACCAUUUUGUUCAUUUUUCACAUAUUUUGGAAUUUUCCGUUUUCCUGACCUGUUUUCCAUGGUUUUGUUUGCUUCUCAGAUGUUCUUUGAAUUUUCAAUCUUCCCAAUCCACUGAUAAUAGUUUUGUGCCUUUCCCCCAUUUUGUGGAAUUUUGGGUAUUCCUGACCCUCCGGUCACAGUUGUUUCCUGUUUUCACCUUUUUCUGAAUUGUCCGUUUCCCUGAAACACCAGUCCCAGUUUUGUUUGCUUUUUACAUUUCUCAGAAUUUUUGGUUUUUCUGAACUGCCAGUCACACUUUCCUGCAUUUUUCACAUUUGCUUCAGUGAACUGAGCUAGGUAUACCUGUAGACAUCAUUCCAGUUCAGUAUCUAAAGUGUGUAUGUAAUCUAUAACUUUUCUUCAGAAAUUAAAGGGAAGAAAUGUGCCAAUUGAAUUCUUAUAGAACUGAAAAUAUGCAUAGCUUUUAUUAAGAACUAUCCUACCUUUCCAUAGUUGUUCAGGUAGAGUUGGAACAGGGGCUCAUUUAGUUCAGUAUUGUCUACACUGUUUGGUAGUAGCUGUGUAGGGUUUCGGACAGGGAGCAUUCUGACCCCGACCUGGAGAGUUGGGGACCUUCUCCAUGCCAGGCAGUAGCUCUUCUCCCUCAAAGUAUGCUUAAAAAUGUGCAUACAGACCUAAUAAACUAAAAAAAAAAACCCUUCAAAAACUUAAGCUGAUAAAUAGAACAAGUUUCCCAUCCCAUCUAUCCAACUCCUUUUGCAAGCUAGGGUUGCCGUUCGUUCAGACUUUCCCAGACAUAGCUGGUAUUCAGUGUCCAGGCAGAGAUUGCUCAAAUGUCUGGGAAACUCUGAACAUAUGGCAGUCCAUGUCAGAAUUGUAGAUUUUCAUUAAUAAUAAUAAUAUUUUUUUUUAUUUAUACCCCGCCCUCCCCAGCCAAGGCCGGGCUCAGGGUGGCUAACAAGCAAUAAUAAAAACAAGUUGAAUGAAUACAACUUAAAAACAAGAUUAAAAUACAAGAUUAAAAUAUUGAAAGAUUAAAAUAUUAAAAUGCAGCCUCAUCAGAGGAGGAGAAAGGAAAAAGAGAAAAGAAAGGGGGAGGGAAUCAAAUUGUCUCCAAGCCAAAGGCCAGGCGGAACAACUCUGUCUUACAGGCCCUGCGGAAAUUAAAUUAAAUUAAAAAUAGCUCACGUUGUUGUUGUUUUUCAAAAAGCUCACCAACUUUCCCCCCAAAAAGUCAACAACUUUUGUGUCCGGAUUUUCACUUUUUGAAAUAUGGGAACCGUAUGUAAGCAAAAGGGCUCUAGUGCAUAAAUAUCUAAAGACCGGACAGGGCAAGCAUAGACCUACCUCCUGGGUUAGGUUGUUUUAUAGAAAUAUUCUUUGCAUCUCAUAAUGUACCUUGAUUAUUCUUUUUUAAAGGGAUUUCUGAAGCAGGUCCCUUUGAAGGUGGAGCAAACAGGCUCUUUUGGGGAGAAACUAUUCGGGAGAGUCAUUUUAAUGAUCAAUGCGACAACCAUCCAGGUUGUGACAGACUCAAAGUGCAUUGCAUCUGCCUUUAAAAAUGCAAUUCACAUCAGCAAUCCUGAUUUGUGCAUUCAUUGCCUAGUUAAAUGACUAGAAAAGCUAAAUGACAGCUGCUCACGCUACUGAGUUUGUUACUUUCUUUGAGAUUCAUGAUCCCAUAGGUACAGCAUCAGGCCUGCCAUUCUCUACAACACAUGUUUUUCUCUGUGUACUUAGGAGUAUGAUUAAAAGUCUAUUUGUAAAUACAUGCAAAGCAGGCUUUCAUUAGUAUUUGGGGGAUUUUUAGAACAUCUUGACACAUAUUCUGUUAUUCGCUUUGUGUAAUUGUCAGUACAUACCUGUCAACAUAUGGAAAUCCAGGCAAACUAAAUUGCAGCUUUUCACCUGGAUUGAAAAAUCCCUCAGCCUCAGCGUUUCAUAACUCCCUCUGCUAUCGCGAAACAUGCUCUGGAAUCCUAAAAAAGACAAACACAAUUGGGUGUGGUAUUCAAUAUUUGCAUUUCUUCUAACUGUAUCCUUCAGCAUGUGGUCACGCUUUAUCUUUUGAUUUAAUCAUUUAAUUUUUCUAAUUUUCUAAGUUUAAAGCCUGUGACUGACUGCUGCUGAGCAUAAGGUGCACUUUAGUUUUCCGUAGGGGAUAAUUUAUUCAUUCUGGUAUCGCACUCUUGUUUUCAUUUGCGCAGUCAUCUGAAAGUUUUACUGAAGCCUUUCAGAAAUCUUAUAAAGUAGAUUCAACUCAUUGAUUUUAGUGGGUUUACAUCUGAGUAGAACAUUGGUCUACUCAGAAGCACAUAGGGUGGGGGAAGUCAGAGUCGAUCAUCCUUCCACUUCUAGGAUAGGGAUUUUCAGGGUCUGUUGCAGGUGGGGCCCAAAGGAGAUGCUAUUAAAGGGAAGGUCAGGACUGUCCUAUUUUUCUUGGCAAGAGAGUGGGAUCCUUGUCCCACUGUGAAGAAGGGAAGAGAUGGUGUACACUCGAUGGAUUGCUUAGAGCCAGGUCCAUGGUGAGAGAAUGACCUGGGAAUGAGCUACUGAGAGUAGCCUCUUUCAGGUGGGCAGACUAGAUAAUGUGUUUAUAUUGUUGUAAACCUCUGUAACACACACAAACACAGUGCUUUUUUCUGGGGGGACGCAUAUCCCUAAACAUUUUGUGAAUCUAAGUUUGGCCUCAUUGAGGGGCAGUAUUUCAAUAGGAGUAGGAAAAUGAGAGUACCCCUAAACAUUUUUUUUUUAGAAAAAAAGCCCUGUAGACACACACACACACGCAUGAUACAGCAAUAUAUAAAUGCUUUUAUAAAUAAAUAAUUUCUGUCCUUGUGUUCACAAUCUGGAUUUAUUUCUUUUUAAAAGCUCUCUGGCUUUGUGGUGUUUGAUUCUAGAUUUUUGGCAGUGUGAGUGUCGGUGCAGGCUUUUUCGGCAGAGAGGAGGAAUUGAAGAGAUUGGGGAGAAGACUUUGGAUGCCACAAUCUGAAGUGUGAUAGGGAGAGGGAGGUAUGUCUGUGAGGGGUGAGAUAUCUGAUGUCCUCCCUUCUGGUUUCAUUCCCAACCAGGAGUAACCUGGUUACUAUAGCAGUAUCUCUCUGCCUUGUAUUUUUGCUGCUUAAUGCUGGAC
Molecule: non-coding RNA, 54819 nt
Organism: Podarcis lilfordi (Lilford's wall lizard)
Lineage: Eukaryota; Metazoa; Chordata; Lepidosauria; Squamata; Lacertidae
Source: the annotation of a GenBank genome assembly